UUCUCUGUCCCCUCGGACUAGACACUAUGCCUCUCCAGCCUCAGCUUUCUCAGCUGUAGAGUGGAAAAGCUGCUCUGCGUCACCUGCAAGUUGGCAGCAGGAUCACAGCUACCCUGUCACCUCUCUCCUGUGGACUCCAGUUGUGCGCGGCCUGCGGUGGCUCCACAUGUACCUCUGGGAUCAUUUGGUCCCUGCAGCAUGAGGUCAGCAGAACAGCAGCCAACAACCUUGUGACUGGAGCUUGCUGUGCUGUUACCUUUCGUGGCCGGAGGGUGUUUUCAGGUGUGACGAAGCUAAGGAUCCUGAGAUGGGGACCAUCUGGAUUAUCUAGUGCAAUCGAUGUCAUCACUAGAGUCCUUAGUAGAGAAAGGCAGGAGGGUCAAAGCCAGAAAAGCAGAAAAGUGACAUCUGACUGUUCCCUGCUGCUGGCUUUGAAGACAGAGAAGAGGCCAUGAGCCAAGGGCAGCCCGAUUCGGGAGGCUGCAGGGCAGCAGGCAGCUGCCUCCUCCAACUUUCAAGGGAGGACAGCCCAGCCAGCACCUGGCUUGAGCUCAGGAGGACCCAUUUUGGACUUUUGGACUCCACAAUUUUAAGGUAAUGAAUCUGUUCUUUUGAGCCACUAAAAUUUAUGGUAAUUUGUUUUGGUAGCCAUAGGAAAUGAAUAUAUAGGAGGUUUCAGAAGGAUGUAUGCUGAUCGAGAGAGCCUAGUGUGUGACAAGAAGAUGUGGGCAUUGUUGUUCACUCUGCUGUUUAUUUCUCCAAAGAAAGAACUCUGUGAGAUAACUACACUCCUUAUUUUUGAAGUGAGAAGCCUGCUGCUCAGAGAGGUCACAUGUAUGGUAAAGGUCACACAGCAGGUGAAAGGAAGAGAGAUUUUAGACUUCCAGAGUGAUGCAGGUUUAAUCUACUGACCACCAAGCCUGCUGCACUGUCUGCCCUCUCAGUCCAGGGUCAUGACUGCCCACCUGACAGCCCUUCUCAGUCCUUGCCACCCAGCUCCUUCCAAGUGCCCAGGCCCCUGCAUUAUUCAUGAAACCACUUAGAGACUCAUAUCAGAGCUCAGGAAAUAGGAUUCUGAGUCUGGCUUUCAGUCGGCCUUAACACCCAGCUUGCAGGUCUGACCCAUCCCUCACACCCUCUCCAGGUGCCCGACCCAGACGGCUGCUCUCACCUCUGACUCUCAAAGGCACAGCCCUCUCUUUCUCCUCUUUGGUCUCCACAAAAGCACUUGCUUCCUCCUGGAUGGUUCAUUCCCAGGGCCUAGUGAGUGCCCGGAGGAAGAGCCUGAGCCCAGCGUGGUCCCCUCAGUGUCCCUAGAGCUGCUUGGGAUAGAGGCUGGGACUUCAGGUGUACAGAGGCCUGCCCUGCCCUCCGUGGUCUGGAGGGUCCUUAACCCCCCUGAGCCUGUUGCCGCUUCUGUAAAAUAAUACCUGUGCCCCGGCACCAAGUCCUCCUGCAGCUCUGGGAAGCACAGGGCCUAGUUCUCCAGAGGGCACAGGAGUCUUCCCUUGCCUACAGCUUCGCUUUCCCUGGAUCCAGUUUCCUGCAGUCAACUAUUGUCCAAAAUCAUUAGAUGAAAAAUUCCAGAACUCAGCAAAACGUAAGUGUUAAACCAUGCACCUUUCUGGAUGUUGUUCUCCUCCCUCCCACCUGGGACGUGAAUCAUCCCUUUGUCCAGUGUUUGGGAAAAUAAAAUAUUGAGAGAGAGAGAGAGAGAGAGAGAGAGAGAGAGAGAAUAUUCACAUACCUUUUAUUGCAAAUACACUCAUAAUUGUUCUCUCAUGUUAUUAUUGCUCAUCUCUUCCUGAGCCUGAUUUAUAAACUAAACACUAUUAUAGGUAUGUACAUACAGGGGAAAGCCGUGGCAUGUAUAGUGUUUGGCAUUAUCUGUGCCUUCAGGAAUCCACUGGGGUUCUUGGGACCUCGUGAAUAAGAGGCCCUAUUGUAGCAAGGUGUCAUUAGAUUUGAAAUACAGCUUCCCCUUCCUCCUUGCGCUUCCUGCAUGCUCUGAAGCACUGCGAUCCUUGGACAUAUGAAGGUCGUGGUUUCAGGUUCUGUUUUCCUUUGAAAUAGUCCAUGGUUUCAGGUUCUGUUUUCCUUUGAAAUAGUCCAUGGAGAACAAAAAUUAUGAAAACAUUAAAACUGCACUCGGGGGUUUGUAGGCCAGGGCGGCUGCAUCCACUCGCUAAGCAAUGGAAGCCUUUGGGAUCAAGCGACUCCCCCUAAUGCUCCUGUUAUGCUCACCUGUACUUUCCUGAGCAGGUGACUUGAGAUCUCAGGUACUCAAUUUCCUCCCUGUGCAGGGAAAGCACAGAAGAGCCUAAGCCGAGAUAGGUUCUUUUCUAGUUCAAGGUUCUGGGUUCCCACGUGACAUCUGCCUUCUUGAUCCUGAAUUAUCCUAUGUUCCAUCAGAACUUAGAAUCUGUGUUUGUACCCAGAAAGGUAUGGGGUUCCAAAAGGCAAGUGCUCUUUAAUAAAAAUGCCUGGGCUUUAUUCUGCACGUUGCAAUAAAGACAUCGCCUAGUGUGGUAUUUAUCAGAGGAGAUGUUGACACCUGGGGCUGGUCCUACAGGGACAUAGAGGGCUCUAUCGAGGGCAGGGGGUUCACUGUAAUGGGCCUAAGCAGAGCACAGGGAGGCCCAUUAAGAGGCCUUUGUCAUAGUAUUCAAGAGUGGAAAUGAGAGAAAACCCGGGUCACUGAGGUCACUCGGGUCAGUGCCUGGUCCUCUCAGUGGCACUCAGAGCCCCCAGGACCAAGCUGAAUGUUAUUUUUAAAAUGUUGAAUUUUAAGGGUAAUGAUUGAUAUGUGACUUCUUUCUGAAUGGGGAAAAGUGCAGCGUAGUGACAUUAAGGAGAAAGCAGGUGAUAGAACACUGUCUUCACCUGGAGAGGUGAGAAAGAAGAAGUGGAGAGCAUCCCCUCCCCCCACACACAUCAUGGCCACAGCAGGAGAGGGGAGAGUUCCAGACAAGCAUGGCAGCCCUCCUGGGUCUCACUUCUGAGCUGGGGGAGUUCACUGUGCAUCAACCUGACUGCGACCCAGGGCGCCCAGACCAAACACCUUUUCCAGGUGAGAUUUGCCCUGGAGUUGCAGUCUCAGAAAAGCAGAGUACCCCCUCCAGUCUGGGCCCUUUUCAGCUGUUGGAGGUCUGAAUAGCACCUCCAGUGGGACUCAUGUGAUUAGCUCUGGGUGUCAGAGCUACCCCACCAGCUUCCUUGGGUGUCCUGGUUGCAGACAGUGGCAGAACAUGGAUGUGGAAGCCUUUGUAACUGCAUGAGCCGACUGUUCAUCCCCAAAGAGGUCAUUAUUCCCCUGCCAGGUAGCCCCCGAGGGCUGCAUUCAUCUUAUUUGAGCACCUCUUCCAUGUCCAGUACCCAAUAGUCUCUGGGAGGAUGACCAAGUCAAGGACAGACAAGAGAAAAAACUUGGGAAGAUUUCUGAUGCCACCACCAUUGCACUGGAUGCUGUGGUUUUGUGGUGCUUGUCACCUGAUAGACUAGAAGGGGAUUCUCCAAAAAUACAGCUAACAUAUUACAUGAGGGGGCAUCAACCUGCUAGAGCCAGGUGUGCUGGGCAAUCAGAAUCUGAGUGAUUGCAACCUUGUCUGUAAGGCAAUCUAUAAUGCUUUUACUUCUUUCAUCAUUUAUUCAUUUUAAAAUGGUAGUCAUAUAAAAUUACAUAAAGGAUGUAUAAUAAAUACAUAAAACCGUACUGUUAUGACCAGCAAACUCUAUAAUGAUGCUAACCGUGCUUGACUAAGUUGACCUUCUGGUUUGUUCCAGAGCUUUCUGGCAUCCUAGAGAAGUGGGGUAUGACCAGCCAUGAAAUGUUCCUUGGUGGUAAGGAAGGGCCAGGCCUGUCUGUUGGGGGAAAACUAGCACAUCUUCUAAAUGCAUUUCCAAAGUAAUGUUUCACAAAGUGCUUAUAUAGUUUUAUAUUUUUAAUCGAGUGACAUCUUGGCCUAGCGUGAAUUGUGCAGAAUAUUUUGCUGGUCCUUUCGAUCCCAGCCCCAUCAUUAGCUAGUUUUAUGACAAGUGGAUGCCAUUCAUGUUCACGCCAGAUAUGCAGCUUCCUCAGCUUGUGGGGAAGACUGCUUAUUUAAUGGUGGCCAUGGUUUCUGGGGCCUUGUAAGCUCCCAGUAUACAGUGGUGUCAUUAUUAGUUUUAUGCUGUCAUUAUGUGGAGGAUGGAGAAGGCAGAAUCCCUCAGAACAUAAUUCCAGCAGAAGGACUUGUGCUGGUGGGGCAGGCGAGGUGGCCAGCAGGACUUCUUGGCAGAAAUGAAAAAUUGACAACAGAAAUAUGAGUAAGCAUGAUGCUCUGGUUUUUCUAAGAUUGUUAAAACACAAGGGAGGACCCCAAGAAUCGAAAACAGCCAACAAGCACAUGUGCAAGAUGGCGGAAGGGAAGCUGGAGCAAGUUGUUGGAGCCAUCGCAAAGCCAGGACGGGGAAGCAAAGCCAGGCCCUGCCCAGCCUGGCUCUCCCUGAGCCCUGCACAUCAGGUCAGGAACCUCAUAAGCUGCCCAAACACCAAGACUGUGGUGUUCUUUGGUCCCCAACCACAGCAAAUGAAAGUGCCUCUGGAGGUGACAUAACAGAUGCAGGCUAUGCACACAGACUGAUGGAUGCCAUGCAAAAUAAAUGCACAAGAAACACUUGCAGCACCCAAAUAGGAAAUCCAAAUAUCAAAAAGAAAUACAAUUUGAUGUCCACAGAGAUUGGGAAGAAAAAAACCUUACUUUUUUCUUUACAAAUAAAGUUAUUGAAAUUCAUAAUCCAACAAAUGGGCUAAACAUUACAUUAAAAACAAACAAACUGAAAAUUGGUCAUCACAGAAGUAGAACAGGAAAUAACCAGGAUGUUUGGAAGAGAGACAAGGAAAUAGAACAUAUAGAAAGCCAUUGCAUAGAAUAUAGAAUAAAAAGUGCAGGGCAUGGCACCUGCUCCUGCCAAACCAAACACUAGACACAGCGCUGCAAAAUCGGAACACUUCAAAGAAGACCCGCAAAAUGGCCCGAGUGAAAAGAUGGACAAACUGACGAGAGAACCCUCGACAGAAACUACGGAAGCCUGAAGAUGCAGGUAACCUUCCAGCAAGGCCCAUCAACUCUCCUUGCAAGGAAACUUAUAAAGAUAUUUUUCCGAAAUUUCUCCAAAUGGAGAGGAUGAUGACCACAGGCAGUUCUGAGGAAGGUUUGAAAGGGACUCCUCAGGCAGAUCAAUAAACAUUCAGAAAGAAAAUCUGCAAGUCCGCCUGAGCCCAGCCAGGCCCCGCAUCCACCUCCCAGCACAGGCCUGGGGGAGCCCUGCAGUUCUCGCUCAAGUGAGGAGUCGGGGUGGCUGGGCUGGGGCCACCCUGCUGAAGGGCAGUGACCCACUCUGAAAGGAGUGGCUGCCUCUGCGGGCAUCUGAGCUGGCCAUGCCCUAGAAAACAGGAGAUGGCUUUUGCCCGUGUCCUGUUUGGAAAAGGGUUUGAAUUGUCCCAUUUGCCCUCUGAUGCUGAGGAUCGGGACCUUUGCCUGAUGUUACCUCUGACACCAUCAGUGGGGACACACACUAAAUCUGGGGGGAUUGAGAAGCCCCUGUCACUUCCCGACAAGGGCAGGUGCUUCCAAAUCUUUGUGUUGCUUUGACAGCUGGGCGCCAAGGGAGAGGCUCUCCGUGUGCCACAGUGCCGCCGCUUGUCCCCAAAAUGGAUUUCCUGUGCACCACGAGUUACAGAAAAGCAGUCAAUCAGGUCAGAGAAAGCAGACGAACGACUGAGUAAUAAACUAGAAUCAAGAGAGCGCCUUUCCAAGUCGGCUCAAAGCCACUUCAGAACCAGAACCGGGAUCGUUCCUCCCGCCACUACAACAAAAGAAGUGCCACCCUCCUCGGCCGCUCUGUGCUGUGGCCCAUGGAGUCCACCUGCGAUAGCAAGUCACCAUUUCUCCACUGCUGCCUGGGAAGGGCCUUGGAAUCCUCAGUUUGAUUAACGCAUUGAUAAGACAUCUAUUUUACUUAAUACAAACACGCCUGUGGGAUUGGGGGUGGGAUUCCAAAAAAUGAGGCCACACUGGAAAUAUUAAAUACAGAUAUAGUAGUAAAACCUUCAGCUAAAAUAGCAAUAAAAUGGACCUCCGGUGGGCCUCUUGGGGCAUUGAAGGGAGCAGCUUCGUUCCGCAGGUGAAAUAAAUCAACCCGGCACUGCCGAGUGGAAAUAGGACUCCACUAUAUCUUUAUUGAAGAUUUGUAGGAUGCCAAGUCAGAGCCAUGUGGAGGACAAAUGCAUAUUGUUUUUGAAACUGAAACAUGAAUAUGGUUGUAAUUUUAAUGUUUCUUGCUGGAAAAAGGUCACAUUGGUGAGGCCGGGGCUUUCUUGAAGUCAUUUCCCAUUGAGGGAUCUGCCAGGCUCUGACAUCCCGACUCACAGAGGCCCAACCCUUCUGACACACGAAAUGGGCUCUCGGAACAGCCCAUGGUGGUUUCUAUCAGCAUUUAUGAUCCUUAUGUGCUCGGGAAUAUGAGCUGAUGGCAGGCAAACCCCACGGUCUCUCAGAGGCUAGAGAUGGAGUGGAGAGAACGAACAGGAAGAUUUCAUUAUUGAAAGGUAAAGUAAUUAUAUUUGUAAAGUAAAAAUAUAGAUCUAAAUCCCUGGGGCAGGGGGUAAGGCGGGGGGCGGGGUGUGAGUGUGGGCAGCACCAUGCUUAUCGCUGCCUCUCUUUAAGGACAGAGACGCUGCAUUCAUUUCAAAAUCGUAAGAGAUGUACGCUCCUCUCAGGAAAGACAGAGCAGACUGAUAAUUUUAUAAUGUUUUGUGAAGCUACUUGCUGGUACAGUUUGAGCGCACACCUCAAUGUAACUUCACAAUGGUGGGCUUUAAAGCAUCAUCCAGCCUAGGUCUGAGUGAGACUGUGCGGGUCCUACCUCUGUCCCUUCAUGUCUGUGUAACCAUGGUCCAUUCAUUGAACCUCUGUGGCCUUGCUGUCCAGGCCGGGCUUGCAGUGGCAGAAAAAUCUAAUUCUGGAUGAUGACUAUGUGUCUGAGAGUGGUUUGAAAUACACUGUGAAAUGGGGAGAAUCCUUGAUAGUUUUGCCUUUUGCAAUUGCCAAUGGAGAUGCCAAUUUUAACAGCUGCAUGGGAUCACUUGGGUUCCAAAAUCAUCCCAGGAACCCAGGGUCUAUAUGGAACUUCAUCUAAAGCAAAAUGUGACAACAGGAAAUCAUUUUAACCAGUGAAAUGGGACCAGGACUGGCCUCUAGGGAGCUGAUACCCUAUAACAACAGCAACGGGUACACAAAAGACCAUCUUUUAAUAUUGUGCCCAGCCUGUUCCCUACCGCCUUUCAAUAUUGUGUUAUGAACCAGAGUAAGGAAAAACUGAAGUGUGCUUGUUUCCCUGCUCCUUGUUCUCCCAGAACUCCUGUCUGACCACUAGUGAGUUGCCCCAGCUCACCUACCCAGGUUUGGGGGUUUAGGUCACCCCUGUGUGUUGGGGGUAAACAGCCUUAGAGAAGAAAAUGAUCCACCAAGAAACAAACCAAGUUUUAGUGUGUGGUGGGGAAGGGGGGAGUGACAGCUAGGAACCCCCCACCCCCCUCCCGCGUGGGGAUAAACCCGUCUCUCCUAGUGUUGGCUCUUCUGCCCAAUACUCAGCAAGAAGCCAAGGUGUGUGGCAGCUGUCCAGGCAGUGGGGGACCCAGGUGUUCCCCUUCUGGAAAGGAUCCGGGUGCCCCCCGGGCUCAAAAGAGGAGAAUAUCCAGGUGUAACUGCAGGGUCUGUGUCUUGCUGCUCCCGAGCUGUGCCCUCCUGCCUGCUCCUGCCUGUCUAGAGCAGACCCACCACCGGCAUCCGCGUUCUGCCACGUGCGCAGGCUGGAGGCUGCCAGGGGAGGCCUUAAAGUGUUUUGUUCAUUCAUUCAGGAUGACUAGGAAAGUAGGGCAGGAGCGUUGCCAUUAUCUCUCCUGGAGGGCCUCCCAAGCCUAACUGCCAGAGGUUCUUCCUUCUACUCAGAGGGAGCAGCCUGCCACGCACCGCUCUGCAGGUCUCGUCACUGAGAGCUGAGCAGUGUGUCCCUUCCCUGGCACAUCAUGUUCUUGUCUCUGGGGACUCCGUUCCUAAUGGGCAAGCCAUCAGUCAAUAGCUCCAGGUUAGCAGGACAGUGGCUCUGCAUCUGGCCAGGCAUGAAAGGGCUCUCUGACGCUCUUGGGGCCUAGGGAGCAUCUCUCUGAGAAGGUAAAGAAGGAGCCGGGGCCAGCAGGGUGGGGAGGAUUGGUCAGUGUGGAGGGGGAAACACAGAGCUUGGCCCAAGCCUGGAGACGUGACGGUGCUCUGUGUGAAUGGAGGAAGGGAAUGGAGCCCUUUAGGGAACAGGGUCCCCAAUUUCUUGACACUCCCUUCAUCAAGACAUGGAGUCUGCAUUCUCUGAAACUGGUAGAUUUGUGGUGUCUCAGUGUACAGAAUGUGGCAGAAAUGAUAUCUUGUGGCUUCCGAGGUGAGACCAUGUGAGGCCACAUGGUUUCUAUCAGGGUCUCUUUGAGUGCUUACGUCUGAAUGACCUCUCCGGCCCCCACCUCACAGAGCAGCCAUGGGUGUAUGCGCCCGUCAGCAGCCCAGCUGAUCCUGUCCUCUGCCACUGCAGCCCAGACCCCAGGCUCUGGAGAGACGAUGCCAUCUUGCAGCGGAUCCUGAAGUCCCAGCUCUUCUGGACCCCAGUACUUGGUCUCAGAUGUGAAGAGCAGGACAGACGCCAUCUGUUAUGGUUUGAAUAUAAGGUGUCCCCAAAAGCUCAGCCGACAACAUAGCAAUGACCAGAGGUGACAUGAUUAGAUUCUGAGAGCAAUGAUCUACUCAGUGGAUUAAUCCAUUUGAUGGAUUAAUAAUAACUUCUAAGGUAACUGUAGGCAGGUGGGGCAUGGCUGGAGGAGAUUUUGUCAUUGGAGGAGUGCCCUCGGGGAUUAUUGCCUGGCGCUGGCUUCUCCCACUCUCUCUCUCUCUGUUUUCUGGCCCCCACGAGUGAAGUGGUACUUCUCAGCCACAACCUUCUGCCACGACAUUCAGCUGACCUCACACUCAGAGCAAAGGGGUCAGCUGACCACGGACUGAGCCUUUGAGACUCCAAGCCAAAAUAACCCUUUUCUCCUCCGAGUUGUUGUGGUCAGGAAUUUGGGUCACAGCAAUAAAAAUCUGACUGUCACCCAGGGCCAGGAGGUUCCUUCUAAGCUUCCCACUCAUAGACGUUUUAGUAUAAUAAAAUGAUGGCUGCUCAGCUCCACAAGGGGUGGAAGAGUCUGCUUCAUGGCAACAGACAGAGGGACAAAUGGCGUGAGUGGAGCACAGAUGGCAGAUCCAAGCCCCCGCACAAUGGGAGUGCAGAGUACCUGCUCUGGACCACCCGCCUCUGAGACCAUCAUGAGGACUUUGAUCACUACCCACGUAAAUAGAAAGAUGCUGGGAGAAAUAAAACCGAAUGUAUAUUUGGAAAGAUCUCAAAGGUUGCACUGGGGACAGUGCCGAGCUGAAGGACCUGGAUUGGGUUUACAAUCUGGCAUCAGAGGUCAUCGCAGUGUCUGGGUGACAGCUGAUGGGGUCUUGAGCUAAGGUGGUGGUGCAGGCUCUGACAGAUGUGAAGGGAGUAGCGGUCCCCUCAGAGGCCAAAGCACCUGGUGACCACUAAGUGCCAUAUCUGGGUGAGUCGGCCUAGGGAAGCAGUACGGUAUGGGGUCUGGGAUUCAAGAAGUCCAACAGUCAGACAGUAGUGGAGGGAGGGCUGAGAGGAAGGAACCCAGACACGAAGGAGGACGUCUCUGUCCUGCAAGCUUGGGCAGAACAAGGAGAACACUGAGCAGACCAUGACCAACAGGAGAGCCAUCUGGAGGACAGAUGCGGGCAGAGCACAGAUGGAAGUGGGGAAAGUGAAGGCCGGAGACUCUUUCUAGAAGCUGUCUACAGAGCAGAGAACUGAGAAAAACGUUGCUUAGGUGGAGCUGAGACGGGUGAAGUGUUUGUCCUUCAAUGGGAAGACCAGGAUCAGGAGACUGAGAAAAAUCUAGUGAAAUGUACUCAAGAGAGAUGAGGAAUAAAUGAGAUUUUAAGAUUCCUGAGAGGACAGGGAGGUCUGUCUUCAAGUGAGGCACAGAGAAGACCUGGAAUUAGAAGGGGGAUGCCUCCUUGAAGUUACCAGAGAGCCGGAGAGGAUGGAGGUCGGUUGAAGAGACAGUGAUGCUUCGGGACCUUCAUCUGUCAUUGCGGUCUUCUCUGUAUAGAAAGAGGAUUCCUAUUCUUCUGUGUAUUGUGUGGUGUGCAGGGAUUUGAGAGGCAGUGCAUGUCUGGAAUAUCUACAUAGGACCUCGGUUGGCCACAGACACCUGGGAGCGCUGCCUGGUGGUGUGAGGCUGCAGGAGCCUGAGUUCAAUGCCCUCUCCUUGCUGGGUGAGCUCUUCCCCAUAGCAUUAGCUCCUUAUCUGAAGACAAAUGUGUCGUUGAGUUGAUUUAGGGUUUGGGUUUACCCAGAUGUAUACCAAAGACAGAGGAGGAGAGAUUUCAGUGUAUUGGCAGAAUAAAUAAAAAUAAAAAUGCCUAAAACAAUCUAAGUCACACUCAGAGGGAAAUAAAGAUGCUGAAGGUUGAUGGAAUGAGAAAAGACAGCCCAGGGAAUAAAUUGACUGUGGAUUUCCAGUAACUUCUCCCAUGUGCUCCUGGAAGUGUGGCUCCAAGAGACCGGCACUGAGUGAGAAUCCUUUACCUGGGCCUCCCUGUCCCGUGCCAUAGAAAUGCGAGGUGGCAGGCACUAGGGUUUUGAGGUCUGGCUCUUGCUUCACACAUGGUGCUGAAUCUCAGCCCUUCCACCAAAGCAACCGUGAACUUGGGCAUACCCCUUGACUUUACAAGGAAGCCAUUCUCUUUGCCCCCAAGGAAAAGAUGCACAUCAUUGUAGAAUCUACCCCAUGAGCUUGCUGCCCAUGAGUUAGUACACACGGACCUUUCACUACGUGGGGACAUGUAAAUGGUGCAGAUUGGGCAGCAUUGCCCUAAAUACUAACCCAAAGCCUCAUUGAGUUGGCUACUUUGCCUCCAAUCAUUCUGUAGAAAACUGAGGCUCAGAGGAAGUAAGUAGUCUGUCCAGGAUGCCAGAUAACUGAAGUCUGAGAGCAGAUUCAUAACAGGGCUGCCAUAUUGUUGAGGCUUUUAUAUCCAUGGCCUCGUCUAGUAACUGGUAGAGUUGAAAUUAAAAAAAAAAAUUUAAAAAAGAGUUGGUUUGAGUUCUAAUUCCUACGUGCCUUUGUGAUUCCAAGAUGCCUCCCGGAAGUGUCCUGAUUCUGUGUUCCUACCUCUACAAUAGGUGUGGGCUAUUGACUCACCACCUCCAUCUCCAGGGAGAAUAUAAAUAUGAAGUGGGAAAUGAGAAAAGUUGUUUGUCAAUGAUAGAGCACAGCUUUCUCUGUGUUCACCCUUUCUGCUUCUCCUGUCCCUCAUGCUCAAGGGCACAUGUGAGCAAAGACUUUCAUCAGCCUAUGGAUACAUCUGCUUUACUCCACAAGGAUCCACAGGGCUGAGGAAGAGAUUGUGGAAUUCCAGAAAAACAGAAGUCAUCUGCCAGCAGCAGCCUCUGUCCCUGAAAACAAGUCCCCGAACCCAGAUGUGGGAUCCUCUGCAUCUUUGUCACCAAAACUAAGCCAAUGGGAAUCAGAAGCCAAAAUAAUGGAGGAACCUCUUCAUCACAUCCCUCAGAAUGGGACCUGGUCUUAGUCACUUGGCCAUAACCAUAUUGCUGAUACCAGAUGAGUUACCAGUCUUUCUAAUGAGGACUCAGAAGCCAUUUCAACUUCUUUGCAAAGAGAGGACCAGUGCUGAUUAGGUGCAGGGAAGCAUGACACCCCCAACACCACGUAACCCUUUCCUUCCUUGAUCUUCACCAGGGCCAUGCUGUGGUUGAAAUCAGAGGACAGAACCGGGUUAUCUUCCCCAUCCCCUUCUGAGAAGCCUUCCACCCAGGCUGGGGCCUCACCCACUGCAGGGACAUCACCUUCUCACUGGCUUGCCACCCUUGGUGAGUGUUGAGAUCCACAACCAAGUCAAGAUGGCACCUGGCAUUUUGCCAGAAGGAGUGGUUGAGAAGUAAAGCCAGUGAGCCAUUAAGAUGAUGAUAAUUAAGUUAAGCUGUGUAUAAUUAUUAAGAUAAUGACUGAUUGCUGUAACUGGAUGAUGCUAAAUUGAAACAAGCUGUGUAUUCAGUUUUGUAUAUAAACCUCUGCUGUCCGGCAAUAAGGCGGCUCCUGCUACCUCGGGUGCCCGCUACUUUUGUGUUCUCGCGGAGUUCCCGUUGGUUCUCGUGGAGUUUCCGUGGAGUUCUAGAGAGUUCCCGUUGAGUUCUGGCAAUAAAGUAGUUCCUGUUUGAACCUACAAGUGGCUCAUGACCUCCCGGUUAUUUGUGCCCAGCCAGACUGCGGCAGGUGAGCCCAUCCAGCCACAGAGCCAGCCCUGUACGUGCAAAGCACUGCCCAUCUCAUGAUUCCUCCUGCUCUGGGGGCUCCCUCUCACUCUCAGAGCAGCGCCCAACCCCGUACAUGGGUUUUCCAAACUAAGGAGCCAAUAAAUAACACUGAAAAAGGGAAAGUCAAUAAAUAACAGCAAAUACAUAUCCUUUAGAAAUAUAAUAAAUAAGCUGGUAAAACAAGGGCAGGUGGCUAGCUCAGAAGGGCUGAUUCAGAAGUGCCCAGGAUUGAGGUAGGGGUUCUCCACUAUGUACUCAACCAAUCAUGUACAGAGUUUUUUUUGAUAAGAAUAAAAAGUGAAAAUAAAUUUUUCUGAAUCGUUCAGUUUUAUUGGGGAAGGAGAAAGUCAUGGCUUUUGCUAAACAUUAUUCUUUAUGAAAAGCCAAUUUUCACUAAUACUUAUAAUCUGUUUCUCAGUUACUACCUACCUUUUUCUGUUUGUCUCAUCAGAAAUAUCUAGUAAUUGGAAAGAGAAGUAGAAGAGAGAUAAUAAUCAGCAAAGGAAUAUUUAUAAAAUCAUAACUGAGGUUCAAGAGCCACUAAAUCAUCCUAUGACUUAAAAUUGACAAUUAGUUAAAGUUGUUUGAACUUCCUUAUCUCAUCUAUUUUUCAGGGGACCAGAGCUUAUUACCAAUGUUGUAGCCACAGGGAUGCUGAGGUCACAGGAAUUGGCUGACUGGUGGAUUCCUAGUCACAAACAGGUGGAGUCCUGUCUAGAAAUGACUGGUAGUUUCUCUCUUUGUCCAUUUGACAGAGCUCUGGUGAGGGUCUAUAUCAGCUCAGUUGUGCUGCAGUAACAAGUAGUCCCACAUCCAGGACAUGAAAACUGUGUGCGGGACUUUUGCUACAUGUCUACCCUGUGGUACUAGGGACUUGACCUUGCAGUGGUCCUCACUGUAGCUGAGAUGGGUGAGUUGCCACCGUCUGGAGCAUUCCCAGGCACCAUCACAGGGAGACAAGAACUGUGAAGCCUCCUACCCGGACGACCAUGCCCUCAACAGGACAGGAUGCAGAAACUCCUCGACCAAGAGAAGCUGUGGGAGUUUUGCACUAUUUGAAGAAAAGGCCCAAUGGCCACCAGCCUCUGGGCACAUGGGCAAACUGAACCUUGCUUUGUACACAGUGAGGCUGGCAGUUACCUGAGACUGACUUUCUUCUCAAAGCAGGUGCCUUUUCCAUCCUCAAAUAGUGACAAAUAGCAGGCGAGGGGCUGGGCAGUGAGGACAAGCAGUGUCGGGGAAGUGUAUGGUGACCUCCUGUGACACAAGCCAGUCACAUCAGCCCCUGGGCUACACGUGGCCUGGGAAAGAGCUCGCCCUUCUACAGUGGCCCCAAAGCUGUCAGCAUGGCAAAGCAUGACGACAAUGAUGGUAACUUGGAAAACUAAUUCUAUUUUACUUUCUCCAUGAAGAAAAUGUCAGGGGCAAGGGAAAAAUAUCUUUUUAUAUAAAAAUAAAAAAUGUGGGCAGUGAGGCAAGAGCUGUGGGCGGGGAGCGGGGCUGGCACACGGCCUCCAGGACAUGUCGUUCCUCUUCUGAUUGAAGAUGAGGGAAGGGAGGAUUGGGACGCAGCCACCUGCUUCCUCAUAGCAGUAAAGAAAGAGAGAACAAUGUCUCUGUUGCUGGGAGGGGCAGCCGAAGACCUUAAUGAAGAAAAGGGAUUGCCUGCGAGACAGAAUAGUCUCCUUGUGUAUCUUUGUAUUUCCUGCUCGAAGUGUCUGGAUUUUGAUCAUUGAGUGAGACACGGAAUAAGACAAUUCUGGAUAACAUGAGCCUGCCUCGGGGAGCCUGAUUAAUGGAUCUACGGAUCCUGAAAACAAAACAGCAAGAUGCUGCAGGGUUGAGGGGAGACACCCAUUUGCACCCCACUAGCACCCCUGCCCCAGGCCUUCCUUGACAUCUGCUCAGUCAGUGCUUAGAUGCAGACAGUGUGUGCACGGGGGACGCUUGCGCCUCUGCUGGUUCUUGAGAGGUCUGAGCCCGUCACUAAGUCAUCGCUUCUUUGCUUUCCUAAAGUAACUUGGUGUGAAUCCCACACUGAGACCCUCCUGGUACUGGCUUUGUCCAGGACGAGCCCUUGUCAGUACUGUAACUCCAACAGGAUGGACAACAUCUCCCCAACAUGGCGUGCUCUCUUGGGUGCCCCUACUGGUCUCCUAGGGCUGUUGUAACAAUCACCACCACCCAGGUGGCUUGAGACAAUAGGAAAUCAUUCUCUGAUGCUUUUGGAGACAAAAGUCCAAAUUGAAGUCCAGCAGGGUCAUUCCUCCUCCAAAGGCUUCAGGAAAGAAUCCCCAUCCUUGUCUCAUCCAGACCCUGUGUCUCUGCACACUCGGCUCCCAGCCACAUCACUGACUCUCUUCCCCUGACUUCAGGUGGUCUCCUCCCUGUAUCUGGUGUCUUAGAAGGACACCUACCAUUAGAUUCAGAGCCCACCCUAAGUCCACCAUGAUCUCAUCUCCAGGUUCCCACCUUGCCUCUGCAUUACCUUUACAGUUCUGGGUGGACACAGCUUUUGGAGGGCAGCUUUUCUAUAUACAACAGUGCUCACCUAGGAAUUGCCAGGCAGUGUGAAAGGCUGGACCUUUUCCGUGGGUGACUCUCGCUCAUCUAGAUAUGACAUUUACAAAAAGAAAAUUCCUUGAUGUCUUCUCUAUGCAAUUGUGUGACAGGUUUGCAAAAUCUCCUCAAUCCAUCUCUAAGACAGAAUUCUGUGGCCUUUGGGACUUGGGAGAAAACAAUUCCCCACCAUUGGUGAAGUCCUCACUCUGAUUUGCUCUAAUUCUUCAUUCAAGAAAUCUUUCCUGGAAUGGGGGCAUAGCUCAGCAGUAGAACACACACGUCUCUCAUACACAGGACCCUGGGUUUGGUCCUCAGCACUGCAAAAUGCAAACUUCCCUGAGCACCUGUUAGUACCAGGCCCUGGGCCCAGCCCUGGGUUGAGUAGUGACUGGAUGGUGGUUGUCCUGGAGUCGUGCAUGGGCUGUGUCACUGCUCACUCUCUCCCUGACUAGAAGCCCUCCUUUGGAGACUUCCCUUUGCCACCUGACUGUGGUGAGCUUCGCACCCCUGUGACCAAAAUAUCUGUCAAGAACAAUUUAGAAGACACAAAGUUUAUUUGGGUUCACUGUUUCAGAGAUUUAGUCCACAGUGGGCCAAAUCCUUUGCUCUGGGCCCAAGGUGAAUCAGCACACCACGGCCAAGGGGAGGCUGCUCUGCUCUUGGUGGUGAGGAAGCAGGAAGAGAGAGGUGGAAGGAAGAGGCCACAGGGAAGGAUCACCCCAGUGACCCACCUGCCCACAGUUGCCAUCUGUUAGUCCAUUCAAACUAGGAGGAGCCACAUGAUCUUACGAUUCUCACACUCCAGUCAUUUCACCUUUGAAUACCCCUGCAUUGGCACAGAAUUCUGGGGGGACACGUCCUCUCCAAAUCCAACUCCACCUUCUAGAGGAAAGUGGGUCUCAGCAGUAAAGAUCUCAUCUCCCUGGUCUCAGCUGAUGGAAUCAGGAAUGGACACCUGGACCAAGAUGCUGGUCAGAUUCUCUCUGCUGGGGACAUUGAGACUGAGUCACCAUGACCAAAGAGAAGAAGACGCUGAUCUCUUUUCAUUUUUGCUCUUUUGUUUGCUGUUUUGUUUGCACCUAGAGAAACCUGCGGGAAGACCGAGGGAGGAGAGGCACCUGCCUCUGAGGAAAGGCGUGUCGGAUGGCUGCCGAGGUCGCUCUGUGCCCUUGUGACUGGUUUCCUGAUGUCCUCCACGUCCUCAGGGUCUGUCCUCUGCAGCCAGCUGAUGUCUGACUACGGCGGCAGAGAGGGUUAGGACAGCGAUCCCUGGCGCCACUACACCUCGUGGCACAGUCUGUGAUCAAUAAAGGUGGGAUUAAGUUGAGAGGAGGGCGAUUGGCUGGUUCUGUCAACAAGAUAAAAUAAAAAUAAAUAAACUGCCUCCAAGUAGGUGACACCCAUUUGGAAAGAUGAGUAGGAGUUUUUCUGGUUGCAUUUUAUGAAUUAACACGUCCAUGAAUCCUUCUCAGCCUUGGAUUUACUUUGGAGUCCCUGGGGCGUGCCUGGGCCCGCUUCGGGCCAGUUGAAUCAGAACUUGUAAAUUCUGUGUUGUAUUUUUCUUUAAUUCCUCCAGGUGAUUCCAAGGCACUGAGAAGACUGGAGACCACUGACUUAAUGAGUUACGAAAAGAUACAGUAUCCUUCUAGACUAACCCAUCCUCGGCUGCAUUUGGAUUAAGAGCUCUAGUUACCACCCUGGAGCCUUCUGUGGGCCACCACCGUCCUCAACCACCCUGCUGUGUGAAUGGUGCAGCAGGUGUUAAGGGGCAGGCUUAGGUUCUGUGAAUCACAGACACAGGCUCCUGGCACCACUGGGCCACAGGGUUUGGCAUUGCCCACAGGUCCCUCCUCCCUGGUGGCCUCACUGACUCCCCCAAACCCUUCUUUGAUUCGUUCCUGCCUCCUUAUUACUUCUGCCACUGCCCUCCUGCCGGCCUCUUCCUGUGCCCAGUGCUUCAUGUCAACGUUGUCAUCACGAUGGUUGUUCACUCCCUGCCUCUCGACACUCAUUGACGGGCGCUCCACUGUGCAUCCAUCCAUCCACCCCUCACCCAUCCACCCCUCAACCAUCCACCACCCACCCACCACCCAUCCACCAUCCAUCCGUCACCCAUCCAUUUAUCACUCAUCCAACCUCCCAUCUUGCCCCCUGUAGGCAGAGGAGUGGGCUUUGGGCCAGGAAUGAGUGUGAUGAGGUAAGAUGGGGAGGUUGAGUGGCAGGUUAGGGGUGGUAGGACAGAUGGGCUUUGGGCUAUGGCUGAACUGGCUAAGGUUAAGUUUAGGGUGAGGGAAGAGAAGUCAAGUUGGGUUUGGUCUUAGGGAAAGAUGUGGUGAGGGUUUAAGUUAGGGUUAGGGUGGGGAGAUGGAGGGCCCUGCCUUGUGAAUGGUCCACCCACGGGGACCACCUCUAAGUGGAUACAUGAUCAUUGGGAUCUGUCUGCAGGGGGAGCACUGAGCUCCCCAUGGGGUGGUGAAGCUGAUCCUUGCUAAGAACUUCCCAUGGACCCAGGCAGGCAGGAGUCCUCAGGAGGCCCCAAACACCAACAUAGGUCAGGAAAGAUGCCUGUUACAGAAUGUGAAACUCACAGCAGAUGGCAGGAGCAUUUACCAAGGGUGACAUCCACCACACAGUCCAAGGAGGAGGGAGACACUCUCUUUCCAUUUCCUGUGCAUUGGUCUUCAGGUGGUUUAGAGGUGUCUCUGGGUAGAUUCGUCUAUACAAAAUCAGGGAAUAUUGGAAAUCACUCCCCCAGGAAAUGAACCCCAAGUGCAUGAGCCACAAAUUCAGAGACAUCUGGCCACUGUCCACCAUGACCAGCAAGACCAACAGGAUUUUAGCACAAUUUCCCGGCAAGCAGUAAACACACAGCUUGUGUUCUUCUUCUUCACUCUCGCUCUUGUCAUUCAAGGGAGAACCUGGACAUUUGUCAUGGUCAAUCAGUGGAUAGGAACACUGAGAGAGCCAGGGGUGGCUUCCUAUCCUUGAGCAGGAAAAAAGCACAUGCAAAGGCCCAGAGGCAGCAACAGCCUGGCCCCUAGAGGUUCCUCUCCUAGGCAACCCAUGGCCGUGCAGGAGAGAAUGAGGUGGGACUGUCACUGCAGGUCUGAAAGGGCAUGGGACUCCAAACAUCAUUCUGAAGAGGAAAAAGACACCAGACAGGCAUGAUAGAAUAUUUUCAACUUAGAGGCGAGAUAUUGAAUUUUCAUUUUUUUCAAGUUUUAGUCACAAAAAAUGUCUUUUCCCCGGUAAUUUUUGUCUAUCUUCCAUAUACAUUUAUCUAUUGAUAUAAAAUAUUUAUUGAUCCAUAAGAUCUUAGAGUUGAUCCUGCCUUCCAAACAAUACACAAGAACUGGAAGCUAAGAGGGAAAAGACUGGCACAUUUAAACAUAUAAAAAUACAAAUCCUUUAUCUGUCAGAAGACGCUACAUAAAAGAGUUAAAAGAAAACAGAUUGAGAGGCCGUAUUUGCCACUUUUACCCAAGAACUAUUAAUAUUAUUUUUAUAAAAGCAGCUCAAUCAGCAAAUUAGCCAAUUCAUGGAAGGAUGAAAUACCAAUUCAUAAAAGGAGAAAUACAAACAGCCACUAGCAGCCAGAGAAAUGCAAUUCAAAGCAGGAAGACGGAGCAUUUCAAUCAUAGUAGUCGUCACAAUACAUUUCUUUAAAAAAUCGGUGAACAUUCUGCUCAGAGAGAGGAGAGGAGAGCCACUCAGAGAGCAUUAUCAGUGCUGGGCUUUGGGUGAACAGCUUGGCCUUGGCCUUCCGGGACACCAUCCAGGUGUGCAGGGUUGUGAGGAUGGGCUGUACCCACCAUGUCCAUGGCAUCGUUACCUGCAAAAACUGCACCAACCGCAUCGAGAUGCAAAACCUGAAGUCACCUAGGCUCCCAAACUCUAGACUCCCAACAAGACAUUGGAAAAGUUCUGUGGCUGCUGUGUAGACUGAUGUGGUUUCAAGCCACUGCUAGGUGGAAACAAUCAGCCACUAAAACCCAUGAAUGCUCCCAUUCCUGUGAACAAAGGAGCAAAACCUGGUGCAUGUGAAGCUCUCUCAGGGAAUAGGAGAUGGUCUGGGAGCCUGGCAGGGAGGGCUGGAGCCGUGUCGGGGGGUUGCUGCUGUUGGGGCAGAGGGAGGUGCUCGUGAUUAGUUGUGCACUAAUUAUGUUUGGACAUUUUGCAAUAAGAAUAUUACACGUUAUAAACUCAAGUGAUUCUAAAGAGAUCAAACAAACCAAAUACGGUGUAAGGAGUGGCUCUCUCUGCAGAGCCCAGGAUGACCGGAGAGACAGAUGUGCACAGGCCAGGGACCGGGAGGAGAGGGGCGAGGAGUCACCAAGACGGCAGAGUUUGAAGAACAGAAGUGAAAAUCACAGGGCCCUGAGAAACCUGUAAAACAGAGUGACAAACUUGUCCACAAAGAUGCCCAGGGGUUUUGGGUGGCUUUAGGGCAGUGGUGAUGCUGGUAACAGUGACAAACCGGGAAGAGGCAACUGAAUUUGAAGUAACCCUGCUGGGCGUUAUUUUUGAGGGAUUUUACUUAGGAAAUAGAAAAGGACAAUGGAGGCCAAGGCUGGAGGAGAUACUAAGGGCUAGAUGAGUUUAACGUGAGCUCUCUCUAACUUAGGUGCAAAGUUAAGACACAAACAUCACAUCCUGGAGCUGACAUGGCUCAGCACCUGCCCUGUGGACCCUGAGUUUCCCAGCUGCACAAAGACCCCAGGGCAACGCUGACUAAUUGCCAUUGCUUCAAAUAUCUGGGGACGAGAUUUUUGUGGGCUGGGAUGCCUCUCACGAGCUCAACUCUAUCUGCUGUGCUUUUGCCCGGAACCAUCUCUUCUAUGGCUCAUCUUUGCAGUUUGGAAGCUCUGCUGAGUUUAUUAAACAGGCAGCCCCACACCAACACAUGCAGAAAGCAAAGAGCUUGCUCCACCUGACUCCUUCGAGGCUGGGUGGGAGCUGGAGACUUCACCUGGGUAACCUUUGGGAGCCUCAGUUUCCUCUUUUGUUGGAUGGUUUCUAUUGAAGCUCAUUUCUACUUUUAUACUACAAUGUAUGAUCAGCCUCAAUCUUGUUCUAACCCUGAAUCCAUCCCCCCUUGUAGUGCAUUCCCACUCCCCACCCCCGGAAAGGUAGUUGAUUGAUGGUAGCUGAAAGGACACUGGAAAGAAAAAUAAAUUGAAUUUAUGCAAGUGGGGAGGGAACUGCCUCAUUAACAGAAUAAUUGAGCUGUUAGUUAAUUUUACUUGUUAUCCACAGAAAAGGGCAAAAAUCUUCUAAGCAAUGACUCCUCUUCUUCCAAAUGAUUAAAAGAACAACAAAAAGGUUUGUAUCUUGGAUGGAUCUGGUAAUUAUGUGCCCGACACUUUUUUUUUCCUUUUAAAAUAUCAUACGAGGCAGAUGUAUUUUUAAAAUCCUGGCAAUUUACACAACACUAUGAAAGUGUCAGUUCUUCCUAAUCAGAAAUUGUCUGCACUUCCCCAACCUUAUUAGCAGUAAUCCCUGCUAAUGGAUAAUUAUUACCUUUUUCUUACUCAAAUCUAGUUGUUGAUGUAACAACACUUCCUGCUUUGCUAAGAUCAAUAUGUUUAGGGAUCACUGUAAAUAAUGCAUAAAUUUAAUAAUAAAACUGUGCUUGCCGAGAGAAUGCAAACUUCAGCCGUUUGCAUAUCAGCUCUUUAAUUUACAGUUGUUUUAUUUAUUUAUUUAUUUAUUUAUUUUGCCACCAACUGGUAAUGAUAAGUAGCUCUCGGGCCCCAAUAAUGAAGCUCUUCAUACGCAGACAUCCCUGGGACUCUGGCGAAAUCCCAGUGACACCAGGAAAGCCCCAGUGAAGACUAAAUCUGACUUCUCCUUCAAGUCACGUGCAGUAAAUGUUGAUCGACUUGUGAAAGGAGAAUUGCUUUUUACCUUACUGAUCUCAACUGGACCCAGCCCGGAAUGAUCACUCGUGGCUCGUGCAGCAAGUUUCCAGGAAAUUGAAGAUAUUUUUACUGCAGGGGAGAGAAAGCCUGCUGGCCUGGGUCCUUGCCCAGAAUGACACCUCAUAAAGCAUCCCUGGCAAGUGGUCCUGGAAGAGCUUCAGAGGAGGUAGCAUAAUCAUCACGUUAUUCCGGCAUAUGUGCCCCCCCACUCAUCCCCAUUCUUAAUUAAAUCAGAAACACUCCACUAUCUCACACACAAAGACCGUGGCACAAAUAUGCAUGCUUGUGUGUGUGUGUGUAUGUAUCAUGAACACUGACAUUUAAGCCUGAAGGUGUCCCGAUAAACUCAUCAAGAAGAUAAAAAUAAAAUCAGUGUCUGUCUAUAAAUAGUUUGCCUCCAAAUAAAUAUUAAUUGCCCUAACUCCAAUUUUUGUUUUCCAACAUCAAAUGCUUUGAUUGUUAUCUGGAGACUUAGCGGGGGAAAACAGGGAGGCUCUACCUGCGUGAUUGGCAUGGCUUCACUCCCUGCAGGAAGGCAUGGGGGAAACAUCACCAGCUAACUCAUCAUUCCCCUCUUCUUGGGAACAAUGAUGGAGAAGAACUCACGUUUCUUAACAGAUGCAUCUGAUUUAAAGUUCUCAAGAAUGGAAACCUUAUGGCUAUUGGCAAGCAAGAUCACAUUGAUGCACAGAUGAUCAGACAGAAGUACUUGAGGGUCUUCCAUUAGUAUAGACCCUAAAUUCAUCAUCUAAUUGGAUUCUAUAUUCAGUUUGAUAUGUACCUAAGGGUAAAGUUUUCCCUCAAGUCAGGAAAUCUCUUCCCUGAGACCCAUCUCUCCAGCCCCAUCUUUCUGGCAGAGUUUGAUGACCUGUUGUAUUAGUCAACUUUGCUGCAGUAACGAUGAUCCCCAGCCCACAGCAGCUUAUAGUAGCAGCACAGCUUUGAUUUUGUUCACGUUCAUCUUUCCCUGAAGGUAUACUGCAGGUUGGCUUAUCUUCAUGCUGAGUGUAGGCUAAAGACUCUCCCCCUAUGUGGGCAUGAAGUCCUCAAAGCAGAGUGAAAGGCAGGAGACCUGAUGAAAACCAAGUCCCUGGCUUCAGCUUGGAGUUGGUGUGUGUCUGCUCAUACACCAUUGGCCGAGUGAUCCCAAGCUAGUUUGCAGAUAAAGCCGGGAGGGCCAUGUCACUGGCAUCCAGGGACUGGAAGUUAUGUGGCGGUGGCCAGUUGGCUUAGUCUGCUUUCUUUACUGCAACAAAAUUUCUGAGAUCAAGUAAUUUAUAAAGAACCGAGAUUUAUUUGGCUCAUGGCUCUGGAGGCAGGAAGACCAAGAGGAGGGCUCCCAUGUCUGCCUCGCAUCUGGCCAGGGUCCUGGUGCUCUUGAGGCAACUUGAGCUGGUGGAGGGCAAGACCGAGCCAGCUGUGAGCUCAGGGCUCUUUUUCCUUCUCCUAAAGCUACUAAUGCCAUCAGGGGUCCCCACCCUCUUGACCUCAUGUAUCCUGGUCACUGUCUGGAGGCCUCACCUCCAACUGCUAUGAAUACAGGACUUUGGGGAGUAAGUUCCCAACUCAUUAAUUCUAGGGACCACACCCAAGUCAGAGGACCAGGAAAGUGCAAUCUUCUUACUGAGAGGAAAAAAUGAAGACAGGAGAACAGCAAUUCAGUCCAAAGUGCAGGCAAAGGGAAGGAUGGAGGAGGGACCCACGCAGGUAAGCCCUGAGCUCUCCAAGCUCCAGACACUCGAGGGUCCCACCUCCAGUGCCACUUCUGGGUCAGCUCUGCCAUGCCACCGAUGCACCCUGUUCUCGGUCUCUUCUCCUGUCUCCUAAACCAAGUCAGAGAGAGCAAAAUAAUGGUCACAUUUUAUUGCCAAAGAAUUUACUGAAUAACUUUCUACUUCUUUAAAUUUUACACUGAAUGACUUCAGUUCAUUUGAAUGACUAAUAAACUACUUAGUGACAGAUAUUACUGCUUUCAUCAAAUCACAUUCGUUAUCAAUCAUAAGAAGUAUCAUUGUUUUAUGUACAACUAAGAAAAGAAAGAUGCCAAUUAAAGUAUGAUAUGCCAUUAAUUAUAGAGUGCCUCCCAAUUUCAGAGACAUUAAAAUGUGAAAAAUAUGUCUUAGCAUCGGUGAAAUAUGAUAUCUAUUGUUAUAUUUCUUCAUAUCCAAUCAUGUUUCAGAUAAGACCUAUGAAUCUUCUCCUGCUGAUCAUCAUUUAAAAUCAUCUUACAUAGAAUAUGACAUCGAGAAUGUAAAAAAUUGAAAGAUCAGUCAGCUUUAAUACACUCUGGGCUCUACACAGCGAUCGCCCUGUCUGUGUGUUGAUGGAUAACUAAGUUUCAGUUUAUUCAUUAUAUUUCUCUACAGUUUUCUAUUUUAAAUGAACUAGUAUUAAUGUGGUAUUCAGAAAAAUUCUUUGUUUUUAAAACUAGUUAUAUAUUGUGUUGUAUGUGCCAUAUGAUAAAAAAUUUAGAUAUACUGAAACACUGAUAAGAAAUGCAUGAUGUUUUAUUGCUGCUGAUUUCUGGCAGUGGACUAUUUUCUUUAUUCUCUACUUGUUCUCUCUUUUCUUGAAAUUUUUUUGGGGGGUACCGGGGAUUGAACUCAGGGGCACUCCACCACUGAGCCACAUCCCCAGCCCUGCUUUGUAUUUUAUUUAGAGACAGGGUCUCACUGAGUUGCUUAGCGCCUCACUGAAUUGCUGAGGCUGGCUUUGAACUCGCUAUCCUCCUGCCUCAGCCUCCCAGGCUGCUGGGAUUACAGAUGUGUAUCACUGUGCCCGGCUUCUUGAAUUUUCUAAAGGAACUUUUUUUUUUCCAGAAAAGCAAGUUAUGUCCCCCAACAGUGGGUUGUAGACCUUAAUUGCGAGUCAAACGUUAAUUACUCGUUGCCUAUCAAAAAACCCAUUCUCCGUCUCUUUCUUAAGAUAAUCCCAAAUUUAUUCUAGAGUGGCAGAGUGUUGAGAUGAAAGACUAGGGCCCUGUCAACCCCAUCCAACCCCAAAUGUGGCCAUGUAAAUAAGUUCCACAAAAGAAAUAUAAUCAGAAGAUAUUCAGUCGAAAACAUUCCAGGAAAACUUGGUAAAAGCAAGAAAAAAAAAAAAAAACUUUGCCUUCCUUUCCUCCAUCUUGGUUCCUCACAGCAGGUUGGGCCUUGAGCCAGCUUGAGAAUGGGAACCAGCUCAAAGGAUAAUACGGGCAGCUGGUCUCUAGAGGUCCUGGAGCUACCACACCACUCCCACACUGCUUACCUCUUGCUGAAGGAAAGAAAGAGACUUCUAAUUUAUUUAAACCUCAUAUUGAAAUCUCUGUUGGUCCCAGAGAAUGGCAAUUGUUCACUUGGGGAGGCUGUGGGUGAAGGCUUCGCACAGGAGCCUCCUCUGCCUCCAGGUUCCACGGAGGAUGGUGGGGACUUGAGGAAACCCUGCUCAUGAGUGGGUCCUAUUCUGUGCAUAGGCACUGCUCUGCUUGCCAAGGCUCACCUUCCGCUCAGCAGGGCUCCACGUCAAUGUCUAGGACAGGAGGAAAUCCCGAGACCUUCCUGGACCCCACUGGGCCCGGCUGCAUGGCCACUCCAUCUCCAUGCUGGGGGAGUCUUCUCCCUCCUGCGGCUCCCCACCUGGGAUGGUUCUUGGAUCCUGGUCUGUCUCUUCCCUUGUUGCUCUUUUCCUGAAGCACUUGGCUAAUUCUGUGUUCCUGGGAUCAAAUUGGGUGUUUGUCACUUAAGAAAGGAAAAAAAAAAAAGGCUGGUAAAUAUCUGAGCUUCCCAGAAGCACUUAGCUGAAUCUUGGCCACAGUGACAGCCUUUGAGGUCUUGGCCUUGAGCAGACACGUAUCUAGAUCUCCAUAUUUUCUACAGGUGCACAUGUGGGUUUCUCCUCUUUAUUAGCAAUACCUUUGUUUCAGAAUCCAGUGACUCAGAUUCAAAGAAAAGAAAAACUAAAAAUGUUAGAAAACACUUUAAGAGUCUUUCCAAGAUCGAGUCCACACCCGAGAGCUCAGUCUGAUUUAGGCCUGAACUGACUUCAUAAAUAAAGAUAAAUAAUUCAUUUAAUCGAUAUGUCAGCGUAACAAGUUGGCAUGGAUGAACUUCUAAUACAAACAUGCAGAUCAACUGUGUUUUCCUGUUUGAGUUUUGAGGAACAACAUUCUCUAACCUCUCAUCACCUUUAAGCCAUGAGGCUGGAUGAUGAACUGAAGCAUAUGAUUAAAACUAUCCACGGACCGGAAGUGAUGGUCCCGGAAGCUUGGAGAUCCACUGAUAUGGGUCUCUGGCUUCAGCCCACGGGAAGUUCCCCAUGGUGUUCAGGAUGGCAGAUGAGGCUGUCCAUCAUCAGGCCUAGGAUUAUCCUACCCCUUUCUGCCAAAGACCUGUCUUUAACCUCUACACACUGUUUCCUCAGGGGCUGUGGUCUUGGAUGCCUUUGGAUCACUGUUUAGACCUCCCUCGGUCUGGAUGUCAACCCUACCCUUCUGUCCAUUUUGGGAACCUCUGCCCAGUUUGCAAGACCAGCUCCAUUGUCCCAUAUUAUGAAGACAGAAUUAUAAUCCAGAGAGGCAGAGUUGUCCACCUGGGCUCCCAUAGGUGCAGCUAGUUUCAAGGCUACAAAGUCUGGCUCCUUAAUCUGUACUGUGUCAAACUGUGGAUAAAGGAAGAGGGUCUAUAUGCACUGAUUAGGUCACAGUGUUGCUCAUUUAUCCUAUGGGGUUGUUUAAACUGGUUGAAACCUUACUCUUUCAGUUUCUUAAGAUGGAGGUAACUGAGUUGAAACCAUUCUUAUUUCCUAAUAGAGACACUCAGGAGCCAUGAAUUUCCCUCAAAGUGCUGCUUUAGCUGCAUCACACAUAUCUGUGUGUCUGUUCAAAUUUUUAUUCAGUCCAUAGUAACUUCCAGUUUUUAGCUCUUAUUCCUUCUGCUUGGAGUUCAUCAAGAUUCUUGGAUAUACAAAAAUUAAUUUUCAUUAUUUUUUUUUAAUUGCAGUCUUUAGUUCUUCAAAUAUGUCUCUGCUGUUUUGUUUUUUUUUCCCAGCGACUCCAAUCACAUGUUCACAUGUGUUAUAGACCACCUGAAUUUGCCACACAGGUCAUUAAUNAGACAGGGUCUCACUGAGUUGCUUAGCGCCUCACUGAAUUGCUGAGGCUGGCUUUGAACUCGCUAUCCUCCUGCCUCAGCCUCCCAGGCUGCUGGGAUUACAGAUGUGUAUCACUGUGCCCGGCUUCUUGAAUUUUCUAAAGGAACUUUUUUUUUUCCAGAAAAGCAAGUUAUGUCCCCCAACAGUGGGUUGUAGACCUUAAUUGAGAGUCAAACGUUAAUUACUCGUUGCCUAUCAAAAAAACCAUUCUCCGUCUCUUUCUUAAGAUAAUCCCAAAUUUAUUCUAGAGUGGCAGAGUGUUGAGAUGAAAGACUAGGGCCCUGUCAACCCCAUCCAACCCCAAAUGUGGCCAUGUAAAUAAGUUCCACAAAAGAAAUAUAAUCAGAAGAUAUUCAGUCGAAAACAUUCCAGGAAAACUUGGUAAAAGCAAGAAAAAAAAAAAAAACUUUGCCUUCCUUUCCUCCAUCUUGGUUCCUCACAGCAGGUUGGGCCUUGAGCCAGCUUGAGAAUGGGAACCAGCUCAAAGGAUAAUACGGGCAGCUGGUCUCUAGAGGUCCUGGAGCUACCACACCACUCCCACACUGCUUACCUCUUGCUGAAGGAAAGAAAGAGACUUCUAAUUUAUUUAAACCUCAUAUUGAAAUCUCUGUUGGUCCCAGAGAAUGGCAAUUGUUCACUUGGGGAGGCUGUGGGUGAAGGCUUCGCACAGGAGCCUCCUCUGCCUCCAGGUUCCACGGAGGAUGGUGGGGACUUGAGGAAACCCUGCUCAUGAGUGGGUCCUAUUCUGUGCAUAGGCACUGCUCUGCUUGCCAAGGCUCACCUUCCGCUCAGCAGGGCUCCACGUCAAUGUCUAGGACAGGAGGAAAUCCCGAGACCUUCCUGGACCCCACUGGGCCCGGCUGCAUGGCCACUCCAUCUCCAUGCUGGGGGAGUCUUCUCCCUCCUGCAGCUCCCCACCUGGGAUGGUUCUUGGAUCCUGGUCUGUCUCUUCCCUUGUUGCUCUUUUCCUGAAGCACUUGGCUAAUUCUGUGUUCCUGGGAUCAAAUUGGGUGUUUGUCACUUAAGAAAGGAAAAAAAAAAAAGGCUGGUAAAUAUCUGAGCUUCCCAGAAGCACUUAGCUGAAUCUUGGCCACAGUGACAGCCUUUGAGGUCUUGGCCUUGAGCAGACACGUAUCUAGAUCUCCAUAUUUUCUACAGGUGCACAUGUGGGUUUCUCCUCUUUAUUAGCAAUACCUUUGUUUCAGAAUCCAGUGACUCAGAUUCAAAGAAAAGAAAAACUAAAAAUGUUAGAAAACACUUUAAGAGUCUUUCCAAGAUCGAGUCCACACCCGAGAGCUCAGUCUGAUUUAGGCCUGAACUGACUUCAUAAAUAAAGAUAAAUAAUUCAUUUAAUCGAUAUGUCAGCGUAACAAGUUGGCAUGGAUGAACUUCUAAUACAAACAUGCAGAUCAACUGUGUUUUCCUGUUUGAGUUUUGAGGAACAACAUUCUCUAACCUCUCAUCACCUUUAAGCCAUGAGGCUGGAUGAUGAACUGAAGCAUAUGAUUAAAACUAUCCACAGACCGGAAGUGAUGGUCCCGGAAGCUUGGAGAUCCACUGAUAUGGGUCUCUGGUUUCAGCCCACGGGCAGUUCCCCAUGGUGUUCAGGAUGGCAGAUGAGGCUGUCCAUCAUCAGGCCUAGGAUUAUCCUACCCCUUUCUGCCAAAGACCUGUCUUUAACCUCUACACACUGUUUCCUCAGGGGCUGUGGUCUUGGAUGCCUUUGGAUCACUGUUUAGACCUCCCUCGGUCUGGAUGUCAACCCUACCCUUCUGUCCAUUUUGGGAACCUCUGCCCAGUUUGCAAGACCAGCUCCAUUGUCCCAUAUUAUGAAGACAGAAUUAUAAUCCAGAGAGGCAGAGUUGUCCACCUGGGCUCCCAUAGGUGCAGCUAGUUUCAAGGCUACAAAGUCUGGCUCCUUAAUCUGUACUGUGUCAAACUGUGGAUAAAGGAAGAGGGUCUAUAUGCACUGAUUAGGUCACAGUGUUGCUCAUUUAUCCUAUGGGGUUGUUUAAACUGGUUGAAACCUUACUCUUUCAGUUUCUUAAGAUGGAGGUAACUGAGUUGAAACCAUUCUUAUUUCCUAAUAGAGACACUCAGGAGCCAUGAAUUUCCCUCAAAGUGCUGCUUUAGCUGCAUCACACAUAUCUGUGUGUCUGUUCAAAUUUUUAUUCAGUCCAUAGUAACUUCCAGUUUUUAGCUCUUAUUCCUUCUGCUUGGAGUUCAUCAAGAUUCUUGGAUAUACAAAAAUUAAUUUUCAUUAAUUUUUUUUAAUUGCAGUCUUUAGUUCUUCAAAUAUGUCUCUGCUGUUUUUUUUUUUUUUUUUUUCCCAGCGACUCCAAUCACAUGUUCACAUGUGUUAUAGACCACCUGAAUUUGCCACACAGGUCAUUAAUGCUCUGUUUCUUCUUUUCCCUCUGACUUUUAACUCUGUGCUUUAUUUUCAAAAGUUCCAAUUAUUAGACCUUCGAUGUUAUUAAUCUUUUCUUGUGCAAUGUCCAAUAGGCUAUUGGUCCCACCACAUGUAUUCUUCAUCCCAGACAUGGUAGUUUUCAUCUCUACAGGCUUGAUCUGAGUCUUUUUUAAUAUACUGGGUGUCUCCAACAUACUCAUUCUAUAAAAUCAUUGAAUAUAUGAAAAAUGUGAAAAGUACUUACAAUAACUCUUUUAGCAGGCCUGUCCUGUCCACUAAUCUUGUCAUUUCUGAGUCAGUUUCAAUUGAUUGGGUUUUCUUCUCAUUAUGACUCAUAUUUUCCUUCUCCUUUGAAUGUCUGGUAAUUUUUUAUUAGAUGUUAAAUACAGCAAAUAUUUCUUUGUUGAGUUUGGGAUAUUUUAUAUUCCCAUAAAUAUUAUUAAGUGUUACUCUGGGUUGUAGUUAAGUUACUUGGAAAUAGUUGGAUUCUUUUGGAUCUUGCUUUUAGGAUUUAUUAAACAUGACCAGCACUGCAUUUAGCCUGCCUCUGAUUUUGCCCUACUGCUAAGGUGAAUCACUUCUGAACAUCGUACAUGCCGUACCAAGAGCUGUGAGGCUUCUCAUUGUGGUGGGUGGGAAAAGGAAUCUUCCCAGGGCUAUGUGAGCUCUGGGGAUUACUUCCUCUGAUCAUUUUAGAUGGUUCUUCCAAAUUUUGGGUAGAUUUCUCUCAUGUAUGUGCUGAUCAGAACUCAGCUGAAUAAUCAAAAGGAACUCACUGCAGAUCACUGAUUGAUUUCUCUCUCUCUGCUUCUCUCUUUUCUCUGAAAUUCUAUCACAUGAAACCUGGCUACCUUGACCGCUCAGCUUGGGGAAAUGCCAACCUCUGUAAACAAUAAAUGGUGAUGAUUUGGGGCUCUACUUAAUUACUUCCAACCUCUCAGGGAUCCCUGUCCUUCAUCAUCUCAUGGCCCAUUUGUGAAAACUAUUGUUUCUGUUAUUGUUGAAUUAUUUUUGUUUCAUCUGUGGGGGAACAUCCAUUCUCUGUUAUUUCCCUGGCCAUCCGCUGAAGUUGGGUUUAAUUUCCAAUUGGGAAAAUGACUCACAUAGUUAGAAUCUUUGAGAAGAGACUAGAGAUGUAUACUUUUGGUUGUUAAGUAAUCUUAAUAUUCUUGUGAGAUCAUAAUCAAUUUGAUCCUGAGUUUAGGGAGCAUAUCUCUUUGAACCAAUGCUCUCUUUCACAGCAUGAUAGACUAUAUUCUUAUGUUAAAUUGCCUUUACAAGCUAUUUAAUCUCAGACAAAUACCUGAUGUCUCUUAUCUCAAUAUUAUAAACCUGUAAAAUGGGGAUCCUGUCACCUACCUAUUUAAUGGACCUAUCAUUUUAAAUGAGAAAACACACACACAUGCACAUAUAGCCUUUCUCAUAAGAAAUAUGUGGUAAACAGUUGUCUAAUUAGAGGCAAUUAAAACUGCAUACUUUAAAAUGUUAGUGUUCAUUCAUUGUCUCAAAGUCAAUUAUGGUUUGGUUUGAAAUCUAUCCAUAGUUUGUUUUUAAAUCUAUCUAUAAUUUGCACCAAGGAAAACCUGUGGAGAGUCCUCCUUUAACAGGGCAACUGAAACAAUUUUUCUCAUUUCCCUAAUGAUAACUAUGCCCUAAAAAAUACAGAAAUAGAAUAUUUAUUUGAAAUUUAUUUCAAAUAUUUAUUUGGAACAGCAUGUUUCACACAUAAGUGGAGUUAAGACUAAAAUUACAGGAAAAAAGAAAGUUCUCAAUCAGUGGGUUCAGCCCAAGGAGAGGCUGCUGAGAGUGUGGGGAGCACUCACUGUGGGCAGUGCUCACAGCUCCCCUAACUCAGCCUGGGUCCCCUGGACCUAUAGCACACACCUGCUAAGGCACCCCAGUUGCCAGGCCCCUGUCAUCCACCUCAUUGGAGACAGAGUCCCACAGACUUGGCAGGUGUAUUUCCCUGGGACUCCAGGGCCAUGAACUUUAUGAACAGGGAACUUCACUGCCCUGGCAUUGCUGUUUAAGCUUCCAGAGGCUUCCAGUGGCUUCUAGUGGCUUCCAAAUGGUUUGCAGUAGGCUUCCCCACCACCCACUCCCCCCCAUCCUCCAUUGUCUAUUUCAUAAUUAAUGACCUGCAAUAAAAACCAGGUGAUUCGCCUCAUGCCCCUGUAACCAUAGGCAAAGAAGAUGGAGGUGACAUUUCCUUACUUUCCCCAUUUAUUUUCUUUCAAGUGAAGACAAAAUUCUCCUUGAAUUCUCACUGUCUUAGAAAUGCUUGGUGAUGUCUGUACCCCCUUGGCUUCCUCCCUCAUCCAUAGCAAGGGACCUCAGAAGCCAUGCAGUGGCUCUGGAGUCUGGGUGGGGUGUUGAGCAAUUGAUAUGAUCUGAGCUAAUUGAACUUGGAGUUGAAAUUCAUCAGUUAUGCUUCCUAUUUGAUUACCUCCUCGCCAAAACCAGUGUGUGGAAGGAGUCCUGCUCCACAGCACAGCGAUGACUGGGGACCUCCCAACAGGGAGACUGCAUCCAGAGCAAAAGAGUCUGCAGUCAGCAGAGAAGGCAUUUGCCUUGAACCAGGAGAAGCACAAGUUUGACAAAACUGCCCAGUCCCUAGGCUUUGCAGAUGCUGGCCUGUGUCUGGCCCGAGGACUUCCUGAGUUCCCAGCCUAAAGUUGUUGGAGGCGUGACUCUAUUUCUGUUAAAUACCCUAAUUUUAUUUCACACAAUGUGUGUUGGUUUCAUCUGCGUGCACACAAAAGGCUCUAAAGGCACAUCGUAAAAAAGAGUUGAUUGAAAUCUAAAGCGAAAAGGACACCAAGACACAAAUGGGAAUCUCCAGCAGGCCAAAGACUCUGUCAUGAAAUGAUUCCCUUUGCACCAAAGGCAACCCCCAGGAAGUGGACUUACAUGUCCAUUUUUGCAGAGGAAUAAACGGGUGCUCAGAUAAUGGAGGUGGUUUGGCCCAAAUCAUAGCCUUACUAAGUUGUUGGGAUGAACUCAAAGCCGGGUCACCUCUACUGAAAGCACUCAGAUGCCACACGACUCCUUCAUGAAUACAAAGGUGAUGCGGGAUAUCUGGCUUCCAAAUCCCUUGACCACAACUCAUGUUUGUCUUAUAGACAGAUCCUAGGGCCGUGCUCAUCAAACUAAUGCCAAUGGCGCCCUGAGCGUCAUUCAGAAGGAGCCAGACAGGGUGCAGGCCUGCAAGGACAGCCUCUCUCAUCCAUGUAUAAUAAGCAAUUAGGUAAUUUUCUUGUUAAUUCAAUCAGAGAAGCAGAGAAAUAUUGCAACUCCUUGGAUUAAGGACCAAAUUAAAUUUUUUUUUUACACUGUUGACCUUUGUCAGUUUCAUGUAAGAGGAACUGAUGAUGAGCCACUGAUCUAGCAAAUUAGCUUUGCAGAGCUGUUGACAGGGUCAGCAGGAAAUGAAACCUGCUUUAACAAAGAGGAGCUGGAUUCUUAGGUGUAGGAUUCAGUGUUGGAGGCUUUCGCCAGGAGAUGUUCAGAGGCAGUGUGGAAGCAGACUCUAGGAGUACAGAGGGUUGUUUUUUUUUUUUUUUUAUCUUGAGAAAUUUAACUCUUUCCUUCUCUUUCGAGAACCAGUAAAAUGGAAUAUGGAGUUGGAUUCUCCAGCCCUUAGUUCAACCCUGAACUUCUAGGCUGCAUGUCCAAAGCAGUGAGACUACAUUCAGUGUGCGAGCAAGAAAACUGAGAUUUAGAAAUAUUUUGUAGUGUACGGUAAACUCUUUCCCCAAUACCUUGGUUAGAAUUCAAGAACACUCUGGAGAAUGUAGGGUGCAGGAAUAACUCUGAUGUUGCCUGGAAUCCUGUACUUGAUAAUUUCCAACCACAAGUUUACCACAGUCCCAGUCUUUUUUUAAAAUUAUCAAUUAUUUUUUUUUUAGUUUUUUAAAUUAGUUAUACAUGACAGUAGAAUGCAUUUAUAUACUGUGAUAUGUCACACAUAGAUGGAGUAUAAUUUCUCAUUUUUCUGAGUGUACAUGUUGCAGAAUCACAUUGGCUGUAUAGUCACACAUAUACAUACAGUAAUAAAGUCUGUUUCAUUCUACUCUCUUUCCUAUUCCCACAUCAGCUCCCCACCCCUCCCAUCACUUCCCUCCACCUAAUCUGAGGUAAUGCUAUUCUUCCCUAGUGCCCCCCACCUUAUUGUGAAUUAGCAUGCACAUAUUAGAGAAAACAUUCAGCCUUUGGUUUUGUGAGAUUGGCUUAUUUCACUUAGCAUGAUAUUCUCCAACUCCAUCCAUUUACUGGCGAAUGCCAUAAUUUCACUUUUCUUUAAAGCUGAUAAUAUUCCAUUGAGUAUAUAUACCACAUUUUCUUUAUACAUUCAUCUAUUGAGAGACACCUAGGUUGGUUCCAUAGUCUAGCUAUUGUGAAUUGAGCUGUUAUAAAUAUUGACGUGGCUGCAUUACUGUCCCUUGGGUAUUAAACCUAGGAGUGGGAUAGCUGGGUAAAAUGGUGGUUCCAUUCCCAGUUUUCUGAGGAAUCUCCAUACUGCUUUCCAUAGUGGUUGCAACAAUUUUCAGUCCCACCAGCAGUGUAUGAGGGUCACUUUUCCCCCACAUCCUCGCCAACAUUUAUUGUUGUCUGUAUUCUUGAUGAUUGCUAUUCUUGACAGGAGUGAGAUGAAAUCUUAGUGUAGUUUUUAAUUACAUUUCUCUAACUGCUAGAGAUGUUGAACACUUUUUCACAUAUUUGUUGAUGAUUUCAUUUUUUUUCUGUGAAAUGUCUGUUCAGUUCCUUAGCCCAUUAAUUUAUUGGGUUAUUUGGUUUUUUGGUGUUAAGUUUUUUGAGUUCUUUAUAUAUCCUAGAGAUUAAUUCUUUAUCAGAGGUGCAUGUGGUAAAGAUUUUCUCCCAAUCUAUAGGCUAUUUCCUCAUGUUAUUGAUUGUUUUCUUUGCUGAGAAAAAAAGCUUUUUAAUUUGAAUCCAUCCCAUUUAUUGAUUCUUGAUUUUACUUCUUGCACUUUAGGAGUCUUGUUAAGGAAGUCAGAUCCUAGGUUGACAUGGUAAAGAUUUGGGCCUAUUUUUUUCUUCUACUAGGUGCAGGGUCUCUGUUUUGGUGCCUAAGUCUUUGAUCCACUUUGAGUAGAUUUUUGUGCAGGGUCAACAUUUUAAAAGCUAUAUAUGCUAAACCCAAGGCCAGCAUCAUUCUAAAUGGAGAAAAAUUGAAAGCAUUUCCUCUAAAAACUGGAAUAAGACAAGGAUGUCCUCUUUUACAUCAUCCUUGAAAUUAUAGCCAGAGCAAUUAGACAAAAGAAAGAAAUUAAAGGGAUACAAUUAGGUAAAGAAGAAUUCAAACUAUCACUGUUUGCUGAUGACAUGAUUCUAUAUCUAGAAGACCAAAAAGUUCAUCCAGAAACUUUUAGAACUAAAAUAAAUGAAUUUAGCAAAGUAGCAGUAUAUAAAAUCAACACCCAUAAAUCAAACACAUCCCUAUACAUCAGUGAUGAAUCCAAUGAAAGAGAAAUUAGGAAAACUACCCCAUUCACAAUAGCCUUUAAACAAUAAAAUACCUGAGAAUCAAUCUAAAAAAGAGAUAAAAGACCUCUACAAUGAAAACUACAGAACAUUAAAGGAAGAAAUUGAAGAGAACCUCAGAAAAUGGAAAUAUCUCCCAUACUCCUGGACAGGCAGAAUUAAUAUUGUCAAAAUGGCCAUACAGAUUUAAUGCAAUUUCUAUUAAUAUCUCAAUGACAUUCUUCAUAGAAAUAGAAAAAGCAAUGAUUAAAUUUAUUUGUAAAAAUAAGAGACCCAGAAUAGCUACAGCAAUCCUUAGCAAGAAAAUUGAAGCAGGAAGCAUCACAAUACCAGCCUCCAGAGCUAUAGUAACCAAACUAUACUAUAGAGCUAUAGUAAGCAAAACAGCAUGGUACUGGCACCAACAUACGCUUGUAGACCAAUGGUAUAGAAUAGAGGACACAGAGACAAACCCACAUAAAUAUGGUUAUGUCAUACUAGACAAAGGUGCCAAAAACAUUCACUGGAGAAAGGGCAGCCUGUUAAACAAAUGGUGCUGGCAAAACUGGAAAUCCAUAUGUAGCAAAAUGAAAUUAAACCCCAGUCUUCAUGUGGACUUGGAGGAUGUGUAACUGAGUUCUAGCCAAUGGUUGUUGGUAGAGGUGAUUUGUAGCAAUUCCUUCCUGGUCUAUAAAAUACUCCCACAAACAAUUUUCCUUGAUAUUUUAUUUUUCCUCCUGGGGAAGAUAAAUGCAAAACUUUGGAAGUUUCAUGUAAAAGGUAGGGAACUACAAGGUAGAAACUUUCUGAACCCCUGAAUCACCUGAUGGAGGAGAGCCAUGUGCCAAUUGAGAAUAUUUAUUUUGGAUUUGUGCAACAAAAAUAUAAUAAGUAGAAAAUACUACUACUAAUAAUUACAGUAUGCUGGAGUCAUUAUCAUAUUUAGGAGUGUCCACUAGACUAAUGUAAACAGCUGAGUGACAUGAAGUUCAGCAGACGUUCUUUUACACUGAAGCAAGGUCCUUUGAUGUGACUGGUGAGUUUAUGUGAUAGACUGUGAUACACUAUAUUUGGGUCCAACACUAGUCUAGAUGUCACCAGACAUGUUUUUUAGAUAGGACUAACACUUACAAUCAGGUGACUUUCAGUAAAGCAGAUUUCCCUCCAUAUGUGGGUGGGCCUUGUCCAACCAGUUGAGACCCUAAGAGCAAAGACUGAGGUUUCCAAAGGAGAACAACUACGCCUCUGGACCUCAACUUAGAAAUUCUGCCUGUUUCCAAUCUUUGGAUUCAAGAAUGAGACACUCGUCCUAAUCUCCAGCUUGUGACUUGCUCUGUGGAUUUUAUAGUUGCCAGUCCUCACAUUUGUGUGGGUGAAUUCUGAAAUAAGUGUAGUAUAGUGUGUGUGUGUGUGUGUGUGUGUGUGUGUUUAGAGAGAAAGAGGGACAGACAGACAGAGAGGUGGGAAGGUUCCAUGUCCACAGUGAAGUGCUGCUCUAAUGUCAUCUUCUGGAAAUUCUCAGGAGGAGAAGUGGAGGGAAGUCUAGAGCCCAUGGCCAGUCUAGAGGACUCCUAGACCCAGUCCAGACACUGACAGAAGGCCCGUGUGGUAUCCUGGGACAGACACACAGCAGGACUUGGGUGUUCACUGUGCCUCCCAAUGGAGGGCGAUGCUCUUCUGCCCCACAGGCACCAGGCCUGACCCUCCCACCCAUCAUCUGGAGAGACCUGAUCAGAAGGGGUGAAGGCCACAUCCCACAGAAGCUUUGGGAGGCAACAAGGAGUCUCCUGUUUGUCCCCUUCUGAGGCACGGCCAUAGUGUUCUAGGUGCAGUCUGUACCAUCACCCUGGAUCCCAGGGACAAGGAUACCAGGGGCCAGAGCACAGCCAUGAGCUUGCUACUGAAAGACACACAGAAUUCAUAGUGAGUUGUUACUGCAGCACAUAUUAACUUAUCCUGACUCAUCUGUAUUUCAAGAUCUACAACUGUGGGGUCGCUCAGUUCAAAUCCUGGUUCCCACCACUUUCUAGGGGUAUCUCUUGGAGAGACCAUUUAGCCUCUCCGUUGCUCAGCUUCCUUCUCUGAAGAGGGGUGAAAUAGAGGAUUCCUCUAGGGUGGUGAGGAUUCAGUUAGUUGACACCUUGUAAAGCUCUAAUUUGUCAUGGGCACAUAAUAUCAAUAGUCACUGGGGGAUGGGGCUGGGGCUCAGUGGUAGAGCGCUAGCCUAGCAUGUGUGAGGCCCUGGGUUUGAUCCUCAGCACCACAUAAAAAUGAAUUUUUUAAAAAAAGAUACAAUACCUUUCUGUCCAACUACAAAUAAAAAAUAAAAAAAAAAAAAACAGUCACUGAUGUUCAUAUUGGCUGCGUUGUCUCUUGCUCCUAAAAACUUCUCCUCUGGUGACCCAGACAGGCCUCCCCUGGGACAGGAAGUGAGGUCUUUUUACAGGCAUUUCUGAUCACCACUCUACAGAACAUCCACCAACUCAGGGCUGGGCUGGGAGGGAAAGAGGUGCUUCCACUCAGUGCCAGGUAAUGCAGAUUUUAGGGUCUUCAGAGCUUACUUUUCUCUGUCUCUGCUUCUGUCUCCCCGUCUUUCAUAGACCUUUAAAAGUGUGAGAACUACUUUCAGCUGAAGGGACAUGCAAGAUCAUGGCUAGAUUUGGCGGCUGAGCAGAAUUUCCUGAUCCCCGGUCUAACCAGUCCUGUUUCUGCUGAUUUUCCUCCCCUGAGAUCUCCAUUCUCCUCCACUCUGGGAGGAGCCCAGGACCUCCUUUCACACAGGUAGUCGCUGAGGCAGAGGGGAGGCAGGGCUCCUGGGCACCUCACUUUCCCUGAGAGCCUCCCAGAUGGCUUCACCUGCCACAUCCUUGGGCAGUGCAGGAGACACAUUCUUUACUGGAGACUUUAAGUACAGCUAACGGAGCUCAUUCUUGAAGGAAAAGAAAACUCUUUGUUUAUAUGAACGAAUAUUGAUGAGCCACAUUGCAAAAUAACAAGGACUCCUGGUGUGGGUGCUUAGCAAGUCCUGCUGGAUAGGGAUGCCACCUCGCUGGCGUGAAUUCUGUACUGUCCCUGGGAUGGGCUUUGGUGGUCCACAGAGGCCAUGCGUGUGCUGGAUGAGGGCUGUCUGAGCGUGUGCAUGAACCUACAACAGGAAGUCCCACUGCAGGUUAAUCCCCGGUCUCUCUUUCCAGGGCUUAAUGCCAAGUACCAGUCUCCUGAGUUCUGCAACAAGACAAUAGGUGACAUGAGCAGGUGCCUCCGUUUCUAUGAGACGGCUCCUGUGUUGGCCUGGGCUCUGCCUCCACAGGUGGGGGCCCGGCAGUCAUCCGCACUGGCUGAAUCUGACUAUUUUGCCAUCUCUCCUGAUAAUGUUGGACAACUCAGCUCCUGCCUCUUCUGGUCCUUGGCAUUUGCUUUCUUGCUUGUCCAUCUGUUAUUUGUCUUCCUGGCUUUGUUGCCUGCCCGCCUUUAGUAUAUUUUUUUCCCUUUUCUUCUCAGUAAUUUUGCAAUCCCAGUCUCCUGUUUGAUUUUUCCAUCUUGCUCCCUUUUGGGGGACAUGCUGUGUGAGAAGUUCUAGAACUGGAGAGAAACACCAGACCUUACUUUCCCAAAAGCUUCCUGGGUUUCCAUCUGACGCAUGCGUCUAUAGAGGGCACAGGCUGGACAACUGUACGCCCAUGAAGCCACAAAAUGAAUGUGGCCCAUUUUCCCAGAGCAAUUUUAUAUCACAAGGAUUGGAAAUAUUUUUGCUAUCAUAAAUAGAGUUCCACUACAGAAAAGGUCACCUUUUUUUUUUUUUGCUCUUUUAAAAAUAAAUAAAUACAAGAACAACUGCUGAAUGCGUCUUUGGAUUUGUUGCAAGUUCUGUCUGCCCUGACAUUAAGGUACUGGGUAGGAAGAUCUGAGAAAGUGAUUAGGCUGGAAUAAGUGUGUGUGGCGGGGAGGGGGAUGAGAAGGCCAAUGCUUCCGGUGUCCAGGGACAUAUUUUAUCCUCUUUGGCCUUGAGGUUUCUCCCACAAGAGGCCUUCAACUCUGGCCUGCCUGACGGGAAGCCCAGGGCUUUGUGUCUGGUUCAUGGGGUCCCUCUUUGGCCUGGCCUGGCCUGCUGCCUCAGUGUCUGCCCUCUGACCAGGUGUCCUUUGCACGGGACACCUGUGGCUCUCCUCAGAAUUGUGUCCAUUUUAUUCCUCUUGAGGUAGGAAACUCCACCAGCAGGAGCGGGUGGGACAGAGCCCAUGGUCCUGAGGGAGCUCUACCUGGUGGGUUAGAGCAGGAGCACACAAGUUCCCUGAGUCACCCUGACUGAGAAGUGUCACUGUGGCUCCUAUUUGAAAUAGAUGCUGAAGCAACAUAAAGGUCCUGGGAUUCACUGCAGACACACUGCACCCGGCCUUCUUCACACGCCACUAAGUUAAUCCUAACAUGUGAAGCCACAGUAGUAUUGACCCUUCGACAAAACCAAGGUUGAAAGGGACAAAGAGAACAGGCAAUGUUAUCACAAUUUUAUUAGGAUCAUCAUUUUGGAAAGAGACAAAAAUGCAAGUUGAGUGUCCUUGUCUACUUUGGAGGCAUUAUUCUUGGGCGUGGUGAGAGGGUGAAUCGUUUAUACCCUCCAGAAUCCCUGUGUUGAAGUCCUAACUCUGGUUCCUUAGAAUGGGACCAUAUUUGGAGACAGGUCUUUCAAGGGAUAAUGAAGUUAAAGCCAGAUCAUCAGGUGGGCCCCAAGCCACUAAGACUUGGAAUCCUAAUAAGAAGAGGAAAUCAGGACACAGAUGCACCCUCAGGGACAUCCAUGUGAAGAUGCAGAAAGCAGAUGGUACCCAUGUGCCAAAGGAGGGGGCCUCAGAAGGAUCCAACCCUGGAACACCUGGACCUCAGACUUCCAGGCUCCCGGACUAUGAGGACAUGAAGCGCUGAGGUUCGAGCCCCCUAGUCUGUGGUCGGUUUAUUACAGCACCUGUAGGAAACAGACCCACAGGACAAAGCCACCUAUCAUCUCUCGACCUGUCUAUCUUCAAUCAAUCAUUUAUUAUGUAUCUAUCUACUCUUUCUUCAGAUAUAGUAGAGGUAUACGGACAUUUAUUUCAAACAUAAAAUAGUCUAAAAUAUUUAUUCUUUCCAACCUUACUCUUCUAAAACAAUACCUGUUUUAAUGGCAACAUGUGAUCUUGAAAACUUUAUCCAUCUUUGUGCUUGAAAUAUUUCUACACAGUUGUAAUCAUGGCAUAGAUAUGUAAUUGUGUUCCAAUAUGUUUCCUUAUCUUUAAUUAUUAAAUGGCUAUAAAAAUUUACAAAUAUAAACAAUAUUGGUAGAUUGCAUACUAUUCUUUGUAGUAAUAUAUUGAAAUUCUAUUAUGUAUGAAAUUAUUAUUUUUAUGGGUUCCUAAUAUUAACAGAAUCAUUUUAGAAAUUGUACAUAGAGGAAGGAUAUAAUUUAAAGAAGUAAUUUUAAAAUCACUGAUAAUUUUGCCAUCCAGAGAUAUUUGGUUUGGAAAUUAGACUGUUAAUAUUUUCAUUCUCAAACUGUGUGAAUACCCACAUACACAUAUCAACAUAUAAAUACUUCAUAUGCUUUUCCAUAAAUUUAUAUGGACAAGACACUAAGCAUUUACCUGUUAUCUCUGAGGCAAAUAUUUUCCUAGACUUAUGUUGUUAUUUUCGUUUGAAGUUUUCAUUUUGUAGAUUCAACCAGACAGAAUAUUGCAUAAGAUUUUUCGGCCCCUCUCAUUUUUAUGCUCAAAAUUAUGCCUUUACCCUGAGCUUUGAGAAGCAUUUACCAAGAUACUUUGAGAGUUAGGGACUGCGGGGCGUAUCUCCCAGGGCUCCCGGGUUGAAACCCUAAUCCUCUGUUGGAUGGUGUUGGGAAGUGGGGGCUUGGAAGGUCACCAGGGUGGAGCCCCCUGACAGGACUUGGGUCUGACACUAAUGCACAGCCAGGUCAGCACCUGCCCCCCUCAGCCAUGAGAGGACCCAGCAGGAAGUUGUGUAUUCGCACAAGAGGAAGAAGGCCCACCGAGCCCAGCCCUGAGCUCACUCCAGCAUCCAGAAUGGGGAGCAGAAUGGGGAGCUCCUUCUCCCUGAUCCCCUUCUUCUAUUUUACUGGUCUCCCUCCCUCAGGCUGUGGUACCAUAUCAGCAGCACGGAUUGACCAGAACAGCAUGCUAUUGUUAUUGUUUUUUUUUCUUUUCACCUAAUUAUUUUAUCCCUCUGGAAUUAUUUUGAGCAGAGUACCUUAUGAAUAUCCUGACUCACUGCUUCCAGGGAGUUCAUAUCUAGUCCCCACACUGUGUAUCGAGGUGUCCUUCUCUUCUGCAUCAGUCUUUCUAUUUCUGCAAACUCCGUGACUUAGAAUAGCAGCCUCUCUGUAGCUCCCUGCUACAGAGUCAGAAGCCCAGGGAUGGCGUGAUUCUGUUCGCCAAGAGCCCACAGCUCUCCAGGCUGAGGUCACGGCCCCACGGGGUACAUCCCCCGUCCAGCUCAGUCAGGGAGAGAUCUGCCCCUUUUUCCCUCAAGUCCUUGGCAGAACCCAUUUCCUUGCCCUCAGAGGACUGAGGUCCCACUUCCUAUCUCCGAGCUCAUCCUCUGAGGAUCACUGUCUGCACUAGAGGCUGCUGUCCAGCCCCCACCACCCAGUCCCCUCCAGGAUCCCUCUCAUGUUGUGGACCUUCAGGAAGGACCAGGGCACUUUUAAGAUCUAGUCUGAUUGGAUCAGGCCCAGGCAGAGUAAACUCACUUAUUCUCAAAUUAUUAACCUCAACUAAUUAGGAAACUGAGUUAAGUUUGUAAAAUUCCUUUGACCUUUUCCUAUGAGGUCACCUAAAGAAUGGGGUACGAGUCAUUGUAUUUUCCAGUCUUGAAGAUGCUCGGUGGAGUGGGGGAGAUUAUGCAGGCCACAUACACCAGGGGCUAAAAACUGUGGUGCCAUUCCAGGAUUCUGUCUGCCCUUCCUCGCUUCUUUACCAGGUGUUACUGUACUUAGUUUUUGUUGACUUUUUGUUGUUGUUCAUUUUUUUUUAAAUUGCUCAUUUUCUUUAUUUUUAAAAUUUUGAUUUGUUAUACAUGGCAGCAGAAUGCAUUACAAUUCAUAUUGAACACAUAGAGCACAAUUUUUCAUAUCUCUGGUUGUACAUGUCUUCUUACAUGCACUUAGGGUAAUGACGACCAUCACAUUCCACCGACUUUCCUGCCCCUCUGCCUCCCCCCUUUCCUAUUCCCCUUUCCUAUCUGGAAUUCAUUUAAUCCUCCCAUCCCCUCACCAGCACUUAUGGAUCAGCAUCCUUAAAACAGAGAAAUCAUCUGGCAUUUGUUAUUUUGGGAUGGGCUAACUUCACUUAGCAUUAUAUUCUUCAGCUUCAUCCAUUUACCUGCAAAUGCCAUGAUUUCAUUCUCUUUUAAUGCCAAAUAAUAUUCCAUUGUAUGUAUAUACCACAUUUUCUUUAUCCAUUCAUCCACUGAAGGGCAUCUGGGUUGGUUCCUCAGUUUAGCUAUUGUGAAUUGUGUUGCUGUAAACAUUGAUGUGGUGGGUCCCUGUAGGAUGCUGUUUUGUUCUACAUACUGUGACCUGCUAAGGCCAUCCUUGAAACCACCCUGUACUGUUUUCAUUUUUACAGAAAUAUAGAAUGUUCUGUGAAGUAGUUAGGCUAGGUUCUCCACGAUUUAUAUUGUCCCCAAAUAGUGGUAUGUGCAGUAGCCCCCCCCCCUUAUCUGUGCAGGAAAUGUCCGAAGACCACCUCGAAGUAGGAAACUGUAAAAGCUCACAAAUCCAAUAGUUUCAUUCAGUUUUCACCUUAGCUGAGCAUCUACCACACACUUUGGUCAUGACUUUUGCAGUUUGAAGUACAUUAAAACUAGCACAAUUUUUUUUUCUCCCAGUACUUUUUAUUUAUAUUCCCCUUUUAUUGGUGAAUUAUAAUUCUACAUAACAGUGGGAUUAUAAUAUAUUCAUAUAUGCACACAAUAAAACAGGAUAGUUUGAUCAAUUUCAUUCCCCAGUACCUCCCCUUUCUCUCCCCUCCCUUUCCCAAUCCCCUUCUUCUAUUUUACUGGCCUCCCUUCUAUUUUUUUAAAUUUGUUCUAAUUAGUUGUACCUGAUAGUAGAAUGCAUUUUGACAUAUUGCACACAAAUGGAGCACAACUUUUCAUUCCUCUGUUGUACAUGGUUCAGAGUCACACUAGUAGUGUAAUUGUACAUGCAUAUGGGGUAAUAAUGUCUGUCUCAUUCUACUGUCCUUCCCAUCCCCACAGCCCUACCCCGUCCUUCACUCCCCUCUACACAAUCCAAAGUCCCUUCAUUCCUCUCUACCCCUCCCCCCCCCACUAUGCAUCAGCAUCUGCUUAUCAGUGAAAAUAUUUGGCUUUCGUUUUGAGGGAGAUUGGCUUAUUUCAUUUAGCAUGAUGUUCUCUAGUUCCAUCCAUUUAUCUGCAAAUGCCAUAAUUUCAUUUUUCUCUAAGGCUGAGUAAUAUUCCAUUGUGUAUAUGUGCCACAUUUUCUUUAUCCAUUCAUCUGUUGAAGGGCAUUUGGUUGGUUCCAUAGUUUAGCUAUUGUGAAUUGACUAGCACAAAUUUCUUUCUCCUUCUUCACAAUCCCAUACAUAGAAGAUUAAUUCUUAUCAUAAAUCUUAACAGUCUCAGCAUACAGUGUUUUUUUUUCUGUCCUAAUAAGUUAAGCACUUUCAACUUUUCAUUAAAGGAAGCACUUUACACUUUCUGUUUGGCAUAUCUAAAUCACCAACGUCUCUAUGCUUGCACUUUGUGGCCAAUAUUAAUAAAUAAGGGUUACUUAAACAUAGAAUUACAAUAUCAUCAACAGUUGAUCUGAUGAACAAGAUGAUUAUUAAGCAAUUAAUGUGUAGGUAGUGUAUACACUGUGUAUACACUGGGCAAAGUGUGACUCACAUCCCAGAUGGAAUGGAGCAGGACAGUGCAAGAUCUCAUCACACUACUCAGAAGGAGGCACAGUUUAAAACUUGCCAAUUAUUUCUAGGAUUUGCCAUUUAACCUUUUCAGACUUUGGUUCAUUGCAAGUAACUGAAACCACAGAAAGGAAACCAUGGAGAAGAAUGGACUAUUGUAUCCCCUUUUAUUCAUAUAUUUAUUCUCUCAAAUGAACUCUGGCAUUACUUUUAAAAGCUCCUAUCCCCAAUUUAGAGACUGAGCCGGUUACAUCUAUGUAUGACUUCAGGGCAGAACUUACACCUCUACAGAAUGCCGCCUUUCUAUACCUAUCAUGCUAUUUCUUUCAAAUUUAAUUGAACACACAUAUGUUGAGGGUCUGCUCUUCAUUAGACACAGAGGUGAGCAGGAAGAAUCAGGCUGCACAGAGCUUUUGUUUAAGUGAAGGAGACAGAUGGUAAAUAGGCAAAUAAGUGAAUGAAAUCAUUCAAAUAAUGCUAAGUGUUAGGAAGGACAGGCCAAAGAAGCAGAAAGUGACCUGGGGCCAUAGUGGGCAUGAGGGAUGGGAAAAGCCACUUUGGACACUGCGAUGUGGGUUUUUUUCUCUGUUCUCCAGCAGACACCAAUUGGAUAUCCUACAGCGGAGCUCCACUCGGACAGCCCCUAUUGAUCCUGAAUUGUUCUUGGACCCCAAAGGCUUAGGGCUCAGCUCCACGAGCCCUCCCUCCAUUUGCAGACCUAUGGCAAGGAGAGAGUUGCCCACAUCUUCUUUUCGAUUUGGCUGAUAGAUCGGAGGAUCCUACAAGCCCCUCCUCGUGGUCAAUUAAUUUGUCAGAGCGGCUCACAGAACUCAAGGGAACCCUCAUGUUUGCCAGUUUGUCAUGAGAGGAAUUACAGAGGGUGCAGAUGAAUGUCCAGAGGGGGACCUGGAGAGGCAAAGCAUGGGGGAGGGUUCUGAGCAUCCUCUCUGGGCUCUCUGUCCUCCAGGUACUCAGUGGUCCUGAGGGUACCAGAGCCUUGUCCUUCUGAACCUCACUGAGGUGCCGUUGCAUGGGCAGGAAUGAUUAUGUCACUGGCUGCUGGGGAUCAACCCAGCCUUCCUCCCUUCCCCUUUCUGGGGUUGAGGGAGGCUCAGACUUCUAACUCUAAUCACAGGGCUGGUUCUUGGCCACCAGUCUCUCUCCUGGUGCUCUAUGGAACCUCCAGUCACGGGUCACCUCUUUAACACACAGUAAGAAGCUAAUCACUCAAAAGAUUCUAAGGAUUUUAGAAGUUGUGUACAAGGGAAAAGAGGGAAGUCUAAAUAUACGUAUAUUAUAGCCCAGCCAGUUGGUGUCUGCCUAUAGUUCCAAAUACAUGGGAGUCUAAGGCAGAAGGGGAUCACAAGAUUGAGGCCAGCCUGGGGCACAUAGCAAAACCCUGUCUCAAAAUCGAACAAAACUAAAAAAAGUAAGUGAAGCAGGGGUGGAGGGGACUGGGGAUGUGUCUCAGCAGGAGAGUGCUUGCUUAGCAUGCUCAAGGUCCUGGGUUCAAUCCUAGCACCACAAAAAGUAAAGAAGAAAUAUGAACAUUUUCUUAUAACCAUAAUAUCACAGGAGACAAUUUUGGAUAAAGAAAUAAGAAAUUCUAAGACGAUAUUUGAUCUGGAUGCAGAUAAACUCUCAAUCAGCCAUAAAAUCAGAAGGGAGAACAUUUGGGGUAGAGGGGAUCUUCAGUGCCAUUGCCCAAGAAUGGUACAGAAUGACAUCCAGCGGAUGGCUGAGACGGAGCUUGUAGAUCAAGUCCUUGCUGCAUACCUGGGUAGUGGGUUUAUGCCACGUUCCCCAGAUAGGCCCUGCAUAUGCAGGACUUCCAGACAGUGUGAUUUUUAGCUUCCAGAUAGAAUGAGUUAUUUUUUUUUUCACAUUUCUAAAUGAUUGCUGCUAAUAUGUAGGGAAGCCAUUGGUUUUUAAGGUAUUUCUUUUGAGAUGGCCACAUUACAUAUCUGUGCUUAAUCUCCCUCCUUUUGUUUCAGUUUAUGUACCAGUGAAUUCCUCUUCCUCCUGAGGCCGACUCAGACCAAAUGCAACAAUGUUGCAAAAUAAUGUGAAUUUUGCUUCUUCAUUUCAAAGAUCAUAUCAUUAUACUUUUAAUUUGUUUCAUAUUUUAACACUAGUUUUAUUUUUGAACACCUUAGUGGGAGUUAUUCUUGUCUUUUGUACAAAGUUUAUAUUUUGGUUUAAGAUAGAGAGUGUGGUUCUGUUUUUUUUUUUGGCCAAUGCUAUACUGCUAUAGGUAGCACCCCGAGGUACCCUUCCCAUUAGUAGUCUUCUCUACUUGGAUGUGUUAUAAAUAAAAACACUUUAGAGUGUUUCAAAGCUUAUUUUUGUUCUGGAUCAUUUUCUUUAAAUAUGUGAAGCGGAGAAAGAUUUUAGGUUUGUUAAGAGGGGACCUUAGCACUGUGGUGGGGGUCAUUGACUCUGGCCAAUGUCAACUAGCUGUUGAUUGGCAAUGACCUGUCCAGGAGUUUGUUUCAUAAACAAUAUUCAAUUGUCAAGGAGGGAAGUUCUAUGCAAACGCUCUCUGUUGCCAACACACUGGGGAGAGAGUUAGUGAGCCCGAAGACGCACCGCCUGUCUCUUCUGCCCUGGCGGCUUCUUUCCCUCGGUCCACUCUCUACCCCUGUGCCCACAGUCUCCUCCGACUGAACAGACCUUGUGGAGAGCAAAUAUUUUAUAUUUAUCCUGAUUGUGUCUUAGGUACACCAUACCAGCCUGCCAGUCUCCCCCCUUCCUCCCAGCCACAACACACCAAAUCUCUCUUGUAAAUUGUAUGGAUUUACGUCCAAACUCUGCCAUAUUUUUAAAUAUCUAUUUGGAUGCUAUUUCUCUAGAAUUUAUUAUUUCUGUGUCAUUUCACAAAGAAUGGGCUCUAUGCAAAGUGAAAUGUAAAACUGAAGGAAGGAUAUGGAAAAUUUAAAGCACAAAUGUCAUUUCAGUUCAUCUUCUGUAUCCAGAGGGUUCUGUGAAACUGAUGUGGGCAGGCGGUGCAGACAGCAGGAGCCGCAUGGCUCUCACGGCUUCGUGGGUCCUGGCUCAGCACUGCCCUCCUAACACCGAGCACCUUGGGGUUGGGGGCAUUAUUUUCCACAUGAAUAUUAAGAGUGUUCAGGUAAGUACCCCUGCUGCUCUGGCAUUGACCUUUGACACAAAGUCCAAUGAACACACCUGCAUCUGGAUCUGACUGGCCAGCUUGGAGCUCAUCUCUGACUCAAAAGCAGCUUCUGGGGAAACGCAGUUCCUUCCUGGGAAGUUGGAAUAAUAGCACUGACCACAGUAGACUCCUUUGGGUGAUGUUGGCCAAAUAAUAUGCAAUUUGUACAGAGUGAUGCUUUAUAAGCCUUUGAUAAAUUCCAACUAUUAUAAAUUUGAUUAUCAUUUCUUAGGUCUCCAAAAUAGAACCAUUGUCACUUAUUGAAUGUUUUUGGCUCCUACUUAGGCUGUGGCUUCAGGGACCAUCCCCCAUUCCCUCCUUUGCCCUUGACUUGGAAUCCAGCUAGCUCCCCAGCGAGUACCCUAGGUGAACCCCAAGCGACUUCCUUAAAUCAGCCCUUGCCUGGUCCAUGGCAGCCCCCAAAUUCUGCUGCUGCUGAGGGCCAUCUGGGAGGGGCUCCUCUGGACCACUUAGUAGGAGCAGAGAUCGUUCACUUUCCCACAGCCCAUGGCCUGUGGUGCAUCAGAGGUAGACUUAGGUCCUAGCAACUAAGUAUGCACUGGGCAGAUGUCACCUUGGACCCACUGUGUGGUCACCGUGCCCUACUGCACUUCACUGAGCCUGCUGGCCCCGAGAGAUCUUUGUGCAAGUGAAAGAAACUUGAAAAAGAGGGAGGAGAACAGCCAGGGAGGGUGAAGGAGCUGAGAGAGGGCGGUGGGUGUCACCUGGAGCCUGGCUUACCCCUCAUCCCACACUGGGAUCUGAUGGGCCCACAUCCUGGGCCCCCGUGACAUGGACAGCAGUCCUGUGCUCUCAUCCAUUGUGAGCCAUGGCCCCCUCUGCUGGGCUGGGUGGUUGGAGAAUGAGGUUUCUCCCGUGAGGGGUCCUGUCCAUGGGGGUCACUCCUCCACAGCUGUGAGCCGCAGCAGCCAAGGCCUUCUUCAAUGUGAGGAGGGACUCCCUGGAUGGGUAAAGCUGAUCUAGGCAGUCCCCAAGGUGACCACUGCACUGACUUCUGCCUGGGUCUGAAGGCCACAUUUGCCCCCACUUUUCAUAGACACUGGGACAUUGGCCCUGAUUCUCGAACAAGUGCCCAGAGGAAAUCGAAGCACCUCAGAGCUUCACUCUGUGUCUGCAAGUUCAUAGGAUCCUGACCACAAGUGCACUCAUGAUCACUUAUUUAGCACCUACCUUUUUCACCAGAUGGCAAACUUCAGCCCAGUGAAAAGGCAUGUUGUAUUUGCUAUAUUUAAAACACUGUUUUUGUUGCAGUAGAUGCUCAACAAAAAUGCACAGACACGCACGUACACAGCAUCCACGUUGACACAGUACAGCAUUUCAGGCCUGCCUCAUAAUCCUCAGAAACACAGCAGUUCAAGUUCAUAUUAAGAGAACUUUGGCUGUAGAUGCAACAUGAUCUGCUCCCAUGUGCAAUAGGGUUGGCACACCCAUAUUUAUGUCACGACCCAGAACAGACUCAAUACCAUUGGUUAAUUGUCCUGCUUCCUGACUGUGCUGGAGCCUACCAGGGAUAGAAAUGGGGCCCGCUAAAGAAUGAUGGGCACAUCGGAUGCCAAGACACGCCAGAGGAGGUUUGAAAUGGCUGUGAAGAGCCAGGCAGAGCAUUCCUUUCCCAGCCUGGCCCAGAGAGGGACGUAGAGAACGGGGCUCUUCCCUGCAUGGUGCACGUAUAUAAGGCUGAGCCACCUCCCGGCUUUCACACAGUAAAGGAAAGGCAUAGGGAGCUCACGUCACUUAUUUCCAUGCAGAGCACACCUGCCUGGGAUCUACGUUCACACCAAGCUCUCCUCAGCUCUGAGCUUCCAGGCUCCUCCCUUCUCAUCCGUCCCUGCUUCCUUCAUCCAAUGCCCAGUGUUGGGUCACCCUCCUCCCCACCUGUCCAUGACAGAGGGGUGGGGGACCUCAGUUCAUCCAACUCAGAUUCAGGAUCCUGGAUGUGAAACCUCACCGGGGACCCCAGCUGCCCCUGGUGUUGCUGGAUACACGAUUCUGCUUCCAGGAAACGCCAGCUUCCCAGGCCUCCACUUCCAGCCCCACCCACGGUGUGCAGAUGCAGAAUGAGGCUCUAGUUCAUUAGAACUGGUACCAACACUUCUGAAGCCUCCGCUGUCCGGGAGCUGUAGACCACAUGGGCAAGCAGGGGAAGCAGGACGUGGGGGAGAUCCGAGCAGAGAGACCCAGAACCCAGAGAAGGCAGCUUCUCUGAGAGCAGGGGGAAGGCCUAGGGUCUGGAGCCCAGCGGCAAGUUCCUGGAGUAUGGCAUGUCCCAGAUUGAGGGUGUCCAUCGUGGCAAAGGUGCACAUCGAGGCUACACAAAAGCUCAGUGGCUCAGUGUGCAGGGAGCAGGGUUGAUGGGCAGCUCAGGUCUUGUGGUGCUGGGUGCUGGGUGAUCAUGCCUAGUUUUUGCCUGAUUUCAUCUCUAUAACAUAUUUCCAAAACGGAACUGAUGGGGAGUCUGAACCUGACCUUGAGGUCAAGUUCACCACUGAGGCAAUGAGGAGUAGUGGGUAGGCCAGGGUCAUCAGAUUGAACUUUAUACUUUCAAGGGUAAACACUGAAUCCCGGUGCUGUCUCCUAUGCUGAAAGGUGCCAGCCAGCCUGGCUGUUUCCUGAACUUAAUGCAGAAGCAUUUAUUGAGCACCUCUGUUUAGGUGGUACUACAUUAAGUGCUAUGGAACCUCACACAGUCCCAGUCCUCAACCAAGAUGGCUUAUUGCACCCAUCGGAUUGACUGCAGCAUGGAGUGACCAGAUAGCUGGCCAAACCUUCUGGGUGUUUCUGUGAAUGUUUUCCAUCAACAGAAGAAUGAAUAAAGGGAAUGUGGUCUGUAUGCACAGUGGAGUUUUACUCAGCCAUAAAGAAGAACAGAUCACGGCAUUUGCUGGUGAACGGAUGGAGCUGGAGAACAUCAUGCUAAGUGAGAUAAGCCAGAUUUAGAAAGUUAAGGGCCUGAUGUUUUCUCUCAAUUGUGGAAGCUAAAGAGAGAGGGAAAAAGAAAGAAUUAAAAAAGGGAGUUCAGGAAAUUAGAGGAGACCAAUGGAGUAGAGAAAGGGAUCAAGAGGGAGGAGGGAGAGGCCACAUGAAAGUACUGGGGAAAGAACUCCACCAGACUAUGCUAUGUCCCCGUGUGAACAUCCACACUGUCCCGUGUGUGUGCAUGUGUGGUUGUGUGACGUACUAAUUAAAAUAAUAGAAGCAGAGAGAUCAGUAGGGAAGAGCAAGUAUGUUGGAGAAGGAAGAAGGGAAGGAAAGGAAGGAACUGGGGAAGGAGGUGGCUGGAAUCAUGUGCUUGUAUGACUCUGAGUGAAUAGGAACCCUACUAUUGUGGGUAAUUGCUAUGCACCAAUAAAAAGAUGAUUAACUUUUAAAUCUUUGACUUUGAGUAAAGCAGAUCCUUCUUCCCAACGUGGGUGGGCCUUAACCAGUAAAUUGAAGGCCCAGAUAGAACAAAAUAGUUGAGCCUCCCCCAGGGAAGAGGGAGCCCCUCCUGCCUACCUCACCAGGUCUCCUGGGCCUCCAUCUAGUGACCAAAGAUCUUGAGACUUCUCAGCCUUCCUAAUCCAAGGAGCCAAUUCCUUUUAAUCAAUGUUCUCUCUCUCAUAUUUAUUCUCUAAUUAUCUGUAUCUAUCCAUCUGUCUACCUGUUUGCCUGUCUGUAUCUUCAUUCCCUGUUUAUUCUGUUUCUGGGGAGGGUCCUUACUGAUUCCCCACACAAUAUGGCAGCAGGAACUUGGAGAGGCCCGAGGUUCAGACAGAAGCCUGUGGAGGCAAAGACGUGGGAAAAGCCCUGUGGACAAGGAGAGGCUGGACCAGGAUGGACCUCACACCUGAGGCAGGACAACAGGUCUGGUGUGAUUUUCCUCUGUAAAGUUCUGAAUCCAGACCUUGUCCCUGGCCUGCAAGGACCACUCGUCAUCUGGCUGGCCCCUCCUCUCCCACCCACCCCCUAUGCCCCCCGAAGCAUCUGUCCUUGCUUCUGAUAAGAAGCUGAGCUUUAGAGAGAGACCACACUGAGUUUGAAUCCCUCUCCUCCUCCUCCUCCUGCAGCAUUGACCUGGGCAAUCAUUGACCUUUUUCACUUAAUGAGCUUCAGGUUCUUCUUCGUAAAUUGGAAAUGCUAACAAUUAUCAUUUGGGAUAAUAUUCCAACCAAUUCCUCGCCAACAGAGGUUGCUGUCGUUUGUAACGUCGGCUUCACCUUCUGACUGUGUGGGGGUAGUCCUGGAAGUUCUGGACUCUGGUGCAUUGGUUGAAAAGCCUGGCCGCUCCAUUGCAGACAUGACCACCUGUGCCACACUAGCCAGAAGAAAAGGGUGCUGAGAGAAAUGACAUUUCUCUUUCCCAGAAUGCCAUGCAAACUCUUACAUUUCACAGUCUCUGAUUGGGUCAUGGGGUCAUCCCUGAACCAAUCCCAGUGGCCAUAGAGAUGGGUGCAAUCAUUAAUGAGGUCCUCCAAGGUCCAACCCUGAAACUGGGAGUGGGGCCAAUUAUUCUGAAACCACAUGGCUGAGGAUGAGAGGGGUGAUUCCCCCACACAGUGCUAAGGACCAUUUCCUGGUGCUGGUUGGAGGUGGGAAGAGAGCAAGUGUCACUCCACUGACCUCGGCUACACGCUACGUGUUCUGUCUGCUCUACCACUGCCAACUCCCCAGCCUCCUUUCUCCCCUCAGGCUGCUCAUUCUGCCUCCACUUCAGUGGUUGACGUGUCCAGGGAUGCUCUCCCAAGCCCUCCCUUCCCAGGCAAGAUUAGGGCCCUGAUGGCACAGUCCCUGCACUCUCCCAACGUGCCUGCUGCUCUCCAGCACUUGGAUCUCUGUAUUAAAAAAAAAAAAAAAAUCCCUAAUUCCUUGUCAUCCUGACCCAGUGGACUACAAGCUCUUAGAAAGAGAAGAGCUGGAUAGUUUUUCACAGUAUUGCCAAGUGGAAACAGAAUCAGGCACUUUCAAGAAGAAAGAUAGAUCUUUCAAGAUAUUUGAAAGGUGAAUGCAGAAACAGAUGGGUGAGGGAGUGAAUGAGUGAGUAAAUAAUGAAGGGAAUGAACGAGGUGAACUGACCUCACCGUCAGCCACGUGAAGGAAAGGAAGACCUCAUCUUCCUCAUUCCUAGCUACUGGUCAAAAUUGACAGAGACUCCUGUUUUGAAAACAAGAAACCCUGAAACUGGGGAAGAAUUCAACCUAAUGUAAGGAAAAAUCAGAAUCAAAAAACAGCAAGUGAGUGCAGUUAAUUAUGCUUUAGGUAUUGACCAGAAAGGACCUGAAUCAGUGUAUUGAAUUUCAAAUCAAAGCCCUGUGCCACCAGAACAAGAGGAACCACAGGGGUGGCAUUGAGCCUGACGACAGGUCAGCUCCAACCUCCUGCUCAGGAGACCUCUCCUAGGAGGUGACAUUCCAGAGUCAGGGGGAAGUCGGGUGAUGCACCCCAUGCCACGUGGGUACAGGUAGAAUCUGAGGAAGGGCACUGUGCUGUUUUUGAAAAGAAGUUCUCCAAAACCACGAGGUUGACCCUUCUCACAACGUUGGGCUUGACUUGCAGUCAGUCACUCAGAAGAUGGCGGAAGAACCCACCCCCCCCCCGGCACUAAAGGGGGUCUGUGUCAACGCCACAAUGAGCAUGGCAAGGAGCAGCGGGGCAUAGCGCCAAAAUCACUAGGACACGAAGCCUUUCUAUAGCUCUGCCCAGGUGCCUGGGCCCUCCUGACGUCCUUGCGGUGGUCAGCCCCCAAACCCAACAGGAAGGAGUGGCUUCCAGCCAUCACAGAAGAGCAAAGUGGGGUCCAGACCACUAAUGGCACAUGCACAAAGCCACUAAGAAUUGUUCAGAUGAUGUUGUGACUUCAGAGAGCUGCUUUCAUGCUCUUCAACCCCACUUCCUCGCUCUCCUCCUGUGUCAGAGGUAGGCAGAACGAAAAGAAAAAUCGCUUUUGUCUGAAGGUCAUGGCAGCACGGUACAGAGAGCCAGACCUCCACCCAGGGCCACACUGUAUGAGUCACACGUGUGUGAGCGCACGGGCACGGGCAGGCGUGAUAGAUGUGUCCUACGUGUGCUCAAACAUAAAAAUAAACAAAACAGCCACACAAAUCCCCCCCUUGGAAGUCAAAAGAGAGCGGCUCUGAGGCGGGUUCCUGUAGAGCCCUCUCUCUAUUCCUGAGAGGUUCAAUUAAUGGAUGCAAGUCAUAAACCAGAGCGUCUUCCCCGCGCCGUGAUGCAUUGUUUUUAAUCUCGCUGCCUCGUAUUAUAUCACAUUCCUAUAAUUCUUCCGACAGGAAGAGGCUUGUUUCAUAAAAAUAUAGUCCCCAGCAUUUGAAAUAUAAGUCCACAUGCAGGCAACAUAUAUAUCACCGGGCCAGCAAACUAACUCACUUACUUAAUCCACUAAACUUCAGGUGCUUCCUAUAUUAUGUGAAAUGGUUGGGAACAGGCAGGAGAUGCCAGAGCCCAUCAGAGCCGCCUCACUCAAGAGCGACAAGGGGAGAAGGGAGGAGGGGGAGUGGAAAUCCCCUCCGUGGGUGCCACAGUAACAUGCCUUUCAUUAUCACCCCGUGUCAGGGCACUGGGUAAUGUUCAUCCUAGCUAGUUGAAUGUCUGCAGAUGGCAUCUCUGAUAGCACUUCAGUGAGGUGGAUUCUGAGCUUAGGAGUGAGAUGUUCUUCUACCUUUGCAGGCAAUUGCUGAUGCUUCUGGUCUGCUACAAUAUAAGUCUGGAUGCAAAUAUUGCAAUAACAAAUAACCACAGGUGUUUUUUGAAGAACCAAUAGGGUUUUCCAAAGGAAAGGUUUCUCUGGUCCCUACAUCCAGGAGCUCAGGGUUCCGUGAUUUCCAGGCAGGCUGCUUUUUGCACAUGUCCUGGAGUGUGGUGGGAAGUCACUGCUGGCUUUGCAGUUCACACUCCUGGUGAACCAGUCACCCUGAGCACUGUGCUGAGCCAACCUCCUCUUCUCCUGCUGGCCAGCACUGUCCAUGGGGCUUGCUGGACCCUGGGGUGUUUUCCAUGAGUACCUACUGCCCAUGCCCAGUGCAAGGCAGUGCCUGGGCUCUGCACAGAGUAGGUCUCAUAUGUGCUCCUGUGGGCAAAGGUCAGCCCCAGACAGAGCCCUGGUCCUCCCCACUGUGGCCUCAGGCUGUCCUGUGAUCUUCUAGGCUGGUAGGGUUCUAGCAUGCCUUUCUUCAUCUGUCCCCUCCCUCCUACAGGAGUGAGGCCUGGCCAGGCCAGGAAGGGUUCCCUGGAGAAUCAGUCUGUGCCAAGACCCCCAGAGUUUUACCUCUGUCAGGCUCCUUAAUCUUCCCAGGGAGGAGAAGCAGCACACCUGCCGGCAAGGAUGUCUUCUCUUGCUCUUCUCAUCUCCCAAACUAAACCUUUGCCUUUCCUUGCUUUCUCUUCUGCUUUCUCAGAUCCCAUGUAGAGAUCCUACACAGCCUGAUGGCCUGUCUGCUCUGUUCAGAAUAUUUUAGUAGAGAUAUAAUUAUCCAGUGCCAUACAGAAAUGCUAGUCACUGUGCUUUAUCCCAAGCCACUUCCCCACAGAGGCCUGCAGAGAAAGAGCACAGGGCAAAAGGAAUGGAAGACAUGUCAGGUUUCCACAUCAAUCACCCCGAGGCUAUUUACUGAACAACAAAUGUAGCCUUGACCUUGGGGCUGUAGAUGUCUUACAGCCUUGUCUGUGCCUAGCCCUAGAAGAUAGAGAGUACUUGAAGAUAAAGCAUGCUCCAUGAUGUUAAGGACAUCAUCAACAGGAGGCUCAACCAAUUCCAGUGAGACUUCCAUCAGCAUCUGGAGACUACUCCUAAGCACAAGGAGGUGGGACGUGUGUUCCACAGCUGGGGAGGCACUUCCACAGAUAAAAACUUCAUUACCCCAAAACUGCGCUGCCCAGGUAAGGCAGCUACCUCCUGCAUGUGGCCACGCAGGUGCAGCUUAACCCCUACUAAAUCAUACAGGAAUGCCAGUCCCACAGCCACCUGUCUAGUGGGUCUCACACAGAGCCCUGACCUUCCUGGGCUUCUCCCAUGAGAAGAAUUUAUGCAGGAGGCCUGAGCUGGAGGAGGGUGAGUGAAUGUUGGGGAGCAGUUUAACCACAAGAGCCUCUACCCACACGUGCCCUUCAGUUCUCAACCACGCUAAAUGGAUGGAUGGAGGGUCUCAGCCCAACUAUAGUGAGCAUGAAAAGAAAGGAUGAGUCCUGCACUCAAAGGAAAGGGGGAAAGAAAAUGGUUCAGAGGGUGUUUAACCACUUGUUCACACACUGGUAUAGAUAAUUCAAUUGAUUUCUCACAAGUACAUAGAAAAGAAAUUAUUUUGGAGACAGUAUUUUCAUACUCCAACUUUCACAAGCAGAAGAGUUCGGACUCCUGUAGAUCAACCAGGAAGCCCAAGUCCAUAGGCCUCAGGGGGGCAGAGUCGUUGACCUCCUAACACAACAGUCUCUCUGUUUCUCUCUCUCUCUCUCUCUCUCUCUCUCUCUCUUCCCAGCCUCAGGCCUGGAUCCUCGUAUGCAUGUUGAACCUGGUCCCAGUGGGAGAAUUAAGCUGACCUGCAUGUCCCCAGGGUGGUACCCGGAGCCAGAGGUACAGUGGAGUGGCCCAGGAGGACUCCUUCUAGAACCUGCCUCGGAGACCAGGACUAUAGCAGGAGAUGGCCUGUUC
This 54724-nucleotide long non-coding RNA is filed under the name Marmota monax (woodchuck). Lineage: Eukaryota; Metazoa; Chordata; Mammalia; Rodentia; Sciuridae. The record is from RNAcentral.